UGGUGGUGAGUGCAAAUCACUGCAUUAACUUCUGCAAAACCUUCCAAUAUCUCAAACAAGAAGGGUUCAAAUGGAUUGCCCGGAGAACCCACCUCUGUUGGCUCUGAUGGGGCUCCACACAGGAGGAUGACUCAGACCCGGAUUUGGAGUGUCUUGCAAGCAAAUGCAUUUGAAGAAAGAGUUCAGCAGGCCUCACCUCUGUAAGAAAUAUAAAGCAAGUAUUAAGAUAUACUCAAUGCAGCCAUAGCAUUGCACUUUAGCCAACAAUUGUUUAUAAACCAGAAUCUAGAAUCUCCAUUAGAUUUAUAUUCCCAUUUGUCAUGCGUCCAGCCUACAGUCCAUUUUGUUAACCAGAUGGUAUGUACAGGAAACAGAAGGUUCCACUUCUAGGAAAAUUUUCAUUAUGGAAGGCAUGCAUUUAAUAUCAUUAACAUUGUUGAUAAACUGGAUGUUAGAAUAGAUAAUUGUCCAUAUGCCAGAUGAUUCCUAUAAGAAUUUGUCAUCAGUGGACAAAUGGGAUACCAUAUAAUUAAUGAUAUUCUAAUUAUUGAGUUUUUCCAUAUGCCACAUUGAAGCAAACUUUUUGCCCUUUAGUAUAUCAGACACUUGUUACAAUGCAUUUUAUCUACACCGACCCUAAAUAUUUCCUUUAACAUUCCCUAAAGUUCUAUUUAACAUUUCACCUUUUAUUUGGUAAGAAACAUUUUCUUGGUGGUCUAUAUUGCACUGACCAAGAAGCCUUCACUCCCAACCCCUUGUCACCUAAGCCAAACUUUAGGGAAACAAAUUUCACGAGUUUGUAUGAACAUUCACAUUUUUGGAAAUAUUUUCAACAACGUAAAUGCAUCUUUAUUGAUAUUUGUACAUAUUUUAUGGAAUACAUUGUUGGUAUGCUACUAUAGCUGGAUUAGGUUGACAAUUUUGUUCCAAAAGCAUUGGUCUAAUUCUACUUCCAAUAAGACUUAUCGUAUUUAGAGCAAGGUUGAAGACUCAAAGUUAGUACAACUUGGUAAGGUAUGUAGUUUGGAUCCUGGUUCAAGUAAUGACGAAAAAAAUGCAAUUUGAAUCUUUAAAGAAAUCAAAGAAUGUUUAAGGAGUGCUUGAGUCAACUUAAAGCAUGAAAAAUGAGGAAGGGGGAAGGAAUGUUUGGAUGCCCAAUAGGGCUGCUUAAACGCAUUAAAGCACAAAAGCAGCCUUGGGGAUUGCACAACUGCCUCUUGGGAAACAUGAAAAAUUAUAUAUAUUUCAAAAUUAAAAAUUUUUACUUUUCUUAUCAGCUCUUGUUUUCCAAAUUUUUGAAAGACUUGAUAAAAUCCAAUUAGGGUUUUCCACCUAUAGUUUAGGGGGAUAAACCCAAAGGGCCGGAUGGUUUUUUUGUGGCCUUUUGGCAAUUUAAUUGGGACUUUGUGAAAAGUGAAGUGAUUAGUUUUUUUAGGAAGUUCUAUGAGUUAGCUCUUCUAAAAGAAGUUUAAAUGCCACUUUUAUAAUGUUAUUCUAGUAAAAAAGAGGUACUGAAGAGUUAAAAUAUUUUAGACUAAUAAGCUUGGGAAGAUUUAUACAAGCUUCUAGCAAAAGUCCUAGCAAACAAACUAAAAAACAUGGUGGAAGAAAUGGUCUUGACUUACCAGCAUGUGUUUGUGGAGGGUAAGCAAAUUUUGACACGAUUCUCAUAGCAAACGAAGCCAUUGACUUUAGGAUGAAAAGUGUCGACAAAGGGGUUAUAUGUAAGUUGGAUAUCAAGAAGACUUUUGAUCAUGUCAACCAAGACUUAUUAGAAGUUUAAAAAAAAAUGGGCUUUGGUCCCAAGUGGAUCAGUGGGAUUAAGUGGUGUAUCUUUACAUCUUAGUUCUUUGUCUUGGUUAAUGAAACCCCAAGAGGCUUCUUUAAGAGUUUUAGAGGCUUAAGAUAGAGUCAUCCUCUAUUCCCAUAUCUCUUCAUCUUUGCCAUGGAGGCACUCUCCACAAUCCUAAACCAAGUAAAAGAAGAGGGUUUCGUCACGGGUUUCUCAAUUGAUAGAAGAAGAGCGGAAAUGGAGUCAUCUCACUUGUUAUUUGCUAAUGAUACUCUUAUCUUGGGUGAUGCCACAAAGGAGCAAGAAGAAUACUUAAGUUAGACAUUCAUAUGGUUUGAGACUAUCUCAAGCCUAAGGAUCGAUUUGGAGAAAAGCAAGUUGAUUCCUGUUGAAGGGUUGCGAAUGAGGAAGAUCUAACUAGGGUUUUGGGAUUAGCAUGGAACUCUCUCACAAAAUAUCUAGGUCUUCCAUUGGGAGCUCCUUUCAAAUCAACUCAAGUAUGGGAUGUGGUAGAGGAGAGAUAUAAUAAAUGGCUUGCUAUGUGGAAAAAAAGUACCCAUCAAAAGAAGGAAGACCGACUUUGAUAAAAAGUAUUAUUUCUACCUAGCUAAUUUAUCACGUCUCUUUUUGUUAUAUCAAGAAAGGUUAAUUUGAGACUAAAAAAGAUUUGACGGGAUUUUAUUUGGGGGCAAGGACCCUUGAGAGCAAGUCCCAUUUUCUAAAUUGGCUAUUAAUUUGUAUGGACAAGAGAAGUGGGGGCUUAGAUAUGAGAAAAUUGUCCAAUGUCAACAAGGAUCUACUUAGCAAGUGGUGUUGGAGAUUUGCUUGUGAGAGUGACUUCCAUUGGAAGCGAGUAAUUUCAAGAAAGUAUGAGAAGGAAGAAAGGGGAUGGUGCUUUAGAAGAGCGAGGGAAGGAUGUAGGGUGGGAGUGUGAAAGACUAUCAGAAGUGGGUAUAAAGGCUUUAAAUGUAUAACCAUUUUCAAAAUGCAAAAUGGGCUAAGAGUGAAGUUUUGGUUAGAUAGACUUUUCCCACAUUAUUCUUAAUAGCCACCACCAAAGUUGUGUGAAUAGCCAAGGUGUGGGAGCAAGAAAGGAAGGAACCCUAGGUUACAAGAUAGAUCCGUGACUAAGAGCUAGAUAGGGUGGAGGCUGGGGACAAUUGAUUUAUAGCGAUGUUGAGGAUAAGAUGAUUUGACCAAAUUCAAAAUAUGGUAAUUUUCUCAGUUAAAUCUUUCUUGUCUUCCUUAUCUAUUGAAAGAUCAAAGGUGUUCCCUACAAGUACGACUUGGAAUCCUCGAGUACUAGUGAGGAAAGGUUUUUUUCGCUUGGGAAGCUACAUAAGGGAGGAUAUUGAUGUUAGACCAACAUAAAAGGAGGGGACAGAUAAUUCUGAAUGUAUGCUAUUUAUGCAAAGGAGAAGAAGAAAUAAUUAAUCACAUCCUCCUUCAUUGUUCAAGAGUAGUCAUGCUAUGAUAACUAAUUUAUACUUUAUUUAGGAUAGAAUGGGUGUUGGAAUCCAUAGUAAGACACCCUUUUAAGCUGACACAAAUAUUUUAUUAGGAAAAAGAGGAAAAAAAGUUUUGGAAAACUGCUCCUUUGUGCUUCUUUUGGACCAUUUGAAAAGGAAAAAAUUGGAGAGUCUUUAAUAAUAAUGAAAAAAGUGGAUCAACUAUUAAAUAAUUCUUUAUGUAUAAUUUUUUACGAGAUAACACUUUUUCAUGUUGGACUUUGUUGAUUGGCUGAGCUUUAAGUAAGACAUGGGAGCUGUUUUUUGGUUAUCUUUUAGCUUUAGUUGGCCUUUUGGUUCUUUUGUAUACACCAUGUAUACUUUUGUGCAUCCUUUUGUUAGCCACUAUUAGUAAAUUUAGUUUUUUCCCAUAAAAAAAAAAGGUUUUUAUACCUAUAAAAAGUUAGAAGAAUUUUCAUUAACACAUGAGCGAAAAAGACAUCUGUCAUUGUCCUACCCUAGAUCCUAAACUCCCAAAAACUUUUCAAGUAGCAUCUUGAAGUCCUUUUACUAGGUGGCAAAGAUGGUUGGAUAGUGUGCCUUAAGAGAAGUUGAUAUAAAUUCACUGAAGAACAUGAAGGUGCAAUGCUAAGGUUAGGAAGAAGAGCAUAAAUACUGGUCGAAGUCUUUUAGGAGAAGGAUUUUAGGGGGUGUUUUAUAUGUUGCUUGUCUUGUUCAUUAUUUAUCACAAUUACUUUCAUGAUCAUAUGUGGAUGAAUCUAAUUAAUAAUUGAACAAGUCGGUAAAAAUUUAAAAAUUGCCAUAACAUAUUGGACUACCUAUUCAACUCUCCUUCUAGGUAGUUUUAUUUAUUAAAAAUUAAGAAUAUACUUUCAAUUGAUAUCAAAGCAAGUUAAAUUAAAAUUAAUUUUUUUGAGUCCUACUUUAAAUCUUAAGACAUGGAAGCCAAAUGAUGGAUCUUCUAUUAACUGCCCUCCAUUUUUUUAUAGAACCAAUUAUCCCUAUUGAAAAGCAAAAAUCAAAUUGUUGACAAUUAUCCCUAUUGUUAAUCUACUAAUCUAGUUAGAUAGGUUGACAAUUUUGCUUCAAAAACACCAAUCUGAUGCCAUGCUAUGCAAUGGGACUUAUUUGCUUCAUCACAAGGUUGAAGACUUGAGUUAGUGAAAGCAUGGUAAGGGAAGUAUGUGGUUUGGAUGCUUGGUUAACGUAAAGGCAAAAUAAAAGAAGAAUUUGAGUCUUUAAAGAAGUCAAAGAAUGUUUAAGAACACCCAAAGGCACAAAGAAGUGCUUGAGCCAACUUAAAAGUAUGAAAAACGACGAAGUAAGAAAGAACUCUCAAACACCUCUCAAGAAAUGUGAAAUAUAUAUAUAUAUAUUUUAAAUAUAAAAAAUUUAGCUUCCAAAUUCUUAAAAGACUUGGUAUCUUGUAAGACUAGUUGAAGAUUUUUCACAAAAACACACACAGAAAAAAGAUAUAUGUCGUGAUUUUGCCUUAAAUCCCAAACUCUCAAAAACCUUUUAACUCAAAUUUUGAAAGUUCUUUCAAUAGAAUAGCAAGGGUGACAAGACUCUUGGAUAACAAAUUCGUGGGAGCAACAUAGGGAGGGGGCUAAUGGAGCCCUCAUUUCAAUUGACAACUCUAUAAUUAAGAAUCGGAAAGAGCAGAAGUCUUACUUCAAAAAUUGCAUCCUUUCUCAAUUAAAAGGGAUGAGGAAGAUGGUUUGAGUAGGAAGGAAACAAAGAUUAAUAAGUUUUCCGUCAAAUCUUUUGAUGCACCCUUAGCCUAGGAUGGUGAAGAUGGCUAUGACUGGCACAACUCACAGAAAGCAAUUUGAUGCCUCAUUUGGGACUUCACAACUACAAGUUCUAGCAACAAAUCCGAGUGGUACAGAGAACCCAACCCUGCAAAUUAUGAUCCAUAAAUUAAAUGGACAUAAUUUUCUUCAAUGAUCACAAUCGAUGAAGUUGUUCAUUAGAGGUAAAGGAAAGUUUGGCUAUCUCACAGGUGCCAACAAAGCACCUAAGCCAGAAGAUCUUACGUACUAAACUUGGGAUUUUGAGAACUCCAUGGUAAUGGUCUGGUUAAUCAACUCCAUGGAGGCAGCUAUUAGGCAAACCUACCUCUUUCUUCCUAGUUCCUACUGCCAAGGACCUUUGGGAUGCAAUCCAAGAGACUUAUUCAGAUCUAGGUAAUGUUGCUCAAAUGUUUCAAAUUAAGACUAAGUUGAAAGAUAUCAAACAAGGUAGUUAUAAUGUUACACAAUACUAAAAUAUCCUUCAAAAUGCAUGACAAGAACUUGAUUUAUUCUCUAAUAUGGAAUGGAAAUGUGCUGAAGAUAGUGCCCAUUAUUGCAAGAUUCUCGACAAAGGGCAUUUGAUUUUUUGGCAGGACUCAACAAGGAACUCGAUGAGGUUUGAGACCAAAUCUUAGGAAAAGAGCCAAUGCCAUCUAUAAGGGAGAUCUUCACUGAGGUGCGACGGAAAAACAGUAGGCGAAAAGUGAUGUUGGGAGAACAACAAUCCGACCAAUUUGAGACUUUUGCCUUCAUUAUUCAUGGUGGGGAGACUUUUCAACUAAGUGACCAACGACCAGGAAAAAGGGGUUAUCGUCCUUGGCGUGACCACUGUCGGAAAUGAGGCCACACAAGAGGAUAGGUGUUGGAAGAUCCAAGGGAAGCCACUUGCUAGGAGAAACUUGAGACCUGACUGCAAUUCCAAAGCCUACCAUAGUGAAUCCAAGAACCUUGACAACCAAAUAGCUACUUCACCAUUCACCAAGGAGUAGUUAGAGGUCUUACAACAUCUCAUUUAUCCACAAAUCGCAUCCACUUUUGUCUCAAAUUUGCCCAACGUCAAUUCCUCACCAUUUUGCUCUCUAGCACAAUCAGGUAGAACUCAAUACCCAUUUAGUGACUUAGCCAAUUCUUAUAAACCUUGGACCACCAAUUAUGGAGCAACAAAUCACAUAAUAGAGUCAUCCACAUCAUUUACAACAUAUGUACCAUGGGCUGGUAAUAUGAAAGUCCGAAUUCCAGAUGGGUCAUAUACCCUAGUCGCUGGAAAAGGAACCAUCUCCUUAACAAAAGCUCUUCUCUUGAAUCAGUCUUACAUGUCUCAAUUGUCAUGUAAUUUAUUGUUCAUUAGCAAACUCUAGUGAGAUCUCAAUUGUGUAGCUAAAUUUUCUUCUACUGGUGUUGUUUUUCAGGACUUAGCUUCGAGGAGGACAAUUGGCAAUGCAUGUAAGUGUGAAGGUCUAUACCGCUUUGUUGACCAUGAAGUUGUGUAAGACAAGCCGUUGUUGCUUGUAGCAAUGUUUUAUCUUUUCUUUUUUAUCAUGAAAUAAUGUUAUGACACUAUAGAUUAGGUUACCCUAACUUUUUGUAUAUUAGGUUCUUGUUUCCAAAACUUUUCAAAAAUAAAAGGCUAUCUAAUGUUCAAUGAUAAGUGUGUCAAAUGGCACACCAAAUUAGUAUUUCCUACUAAACCUUACAGGUCCUCUAAACCUUUUACUCUCACAUGCAAUGAUCUUUGGGGACCAUCUCGAGUAACAAAUCCAACUGGUACAAAAUGGUUCAUUACCUUCAUCCAUGAUUAUUCAAGAAUUUGAUGGGUUUACCUCCUUAAAGAAAAAUCCGAAGUCUUUCAAACCUUUAAAAAUUUCUAUUCAAUGAUGAAAAACAAGUUUCAAACAUCCAUUAAAAUUCUUAGAAUUGACAAUGGUAGUGAAUAUAUAAAUGUUGGCCUUGGAGAAUUUUUAUCAACUAAUGGGAUUAUUCAUCUAAAUUCAUGUGUAGAUACUCCACAAAAAAAUAGAGUUGCUGAAAGAAAGAAUAAACACUUCUUAGAAGUUGCUCGGUCCUUAUUAUUUUCAAUGAAUGCUAGAAAAAUACAUUGGGGGAUGCCAUUCUUACAACAACAUAUUUGAUCAAUAGGAUGCCCUCAAAAGUUCUUAUUGCUGUUUUUCUUGCUUCAUUCCUAGAUUCCCGAAUUUGCCAAGAUUUACCAGUUAAAAUUUUCAGGUGCACUGCUUUUGUACAUAUUCAUUCACAUAAUCGUGGCAAAUUUGAUCAUAAGGCUAUAAAAUGCUUAUUUUUAGGAUAUGCAUCAACUAAAAGAGGAUAUAGAUGUUUUGAUCCUGUUAAUUGGAAAUUGUACAUCUCUAAAGAUGUAACCUUCUUUGAACAACAGUCCUAUUACACUUCACUUCAGGGGGAGAAUUCUAGCGAAGCUUCGUCAUGGGAAAUUCCACAAUCUCUCAUUUUCUAGUUCCAACACUCUUAGCAACCAAUUCGGUAUCUUCUCAAAUCUCACCAUCCAUCCCUUCCAUUUAGUCGAACCCAACAAUAGUUCCAAUACAUGAUAGAUUGUUAAAUGCAGGGGAAGAUAAAGCAUUGCCACCAAUAGCCUAGUCUACACCACAGUUCAAAGUCUACUCAAGGGAGUGUAUGGUACCUGAUACACUCACGCCUUGCCAUGAAGCCACGCUAGAGAUAAUGCCUAAAUCAAGUUUAGAUAAUUCUUUAUCCCCCUCACUUCUUGUAGACCUAGUGCCUAAUUCAUCCCAUAUCUAAUUUUGUCUCUUAUCAUAUAUUAUCCUUAUCUUUUUUUGCUUUUACCUCUCACCUUUCUUCCUUAGAAAUUCCAAAAAAUGUACAGGAAGCAUUUGGUGAUCCAAGAUAGAAAGCAACGAUUGUGGAGGAAGUCAAAGCUUUGAAAAAAAAUGGAAUGUGGGAACUUGUUACCUUACUGAAAGGUAAAAGAAUUAUGGGAUGUAAAUAGGUCUUUUUAGUAAAAUACAAAUAUGAUGGCUUGGUGGAACGGUACAAGGCAAGAUUGGUUGCUAAAGGAUUUACUCAGGCUUAUGAGAUAGAUUACCAGGAGGCUUUUGCACUGGUGACAAAACUAAACACAAUCCGAAUUCUUCCCUCCUUGGCUGCAAACCAUGAUUAGCCUCUUCAGCAGUUGGACAUAAAAAAUGUUUUUCUCAAAGAGGAAUUAGAGGAGGAGGUUUACAUGGAUGUACCACUAGGACUUGAACAAGGAAGCUCCAAUAAAGUUUGUCGAUUGAAGAAAGCUCUCUACAGUCUCAAAUAAUCACCUUGGGUGUGGUUCAAAAGACUCUUAAGAGUAGUAAAACAAUAUGGCUAUCUUCAAGGACAUUCAAAUCAUACCAUAUUUUACAAAUUUACUGAUGAGGGUAAAAUAAUUGUUUUCAUGUUGAUGAUAUGAUUUUAAUAGACAAUGAUCAUGUAGAAAUUUAAGCUUUGAAGAAGAUCCUAGCUAAGGAGUUUGAGGUGAAGGACCUUAGUGCACUAAGGUAUUUUCUAAGGAUGGAGAUUGCCAGAAGUAAAAAUGGAAUCUUUGUUUCAUAAAGAAAGUAUACUUUAGACUUACUCAAGGAAACAAAGAUGCUUGGUUGCAAGCCUAGUGACAUUCCGAUUAAUUCAAGACAAAAAAUGGACCCGACUAAAAAAGGGGAUCCAAUUGACAAAGGAAGAUACCAACGGCUGGUUGGAAAACUCAUCUAACUCACUCAGACUAGGCCGGAUAUUGCUUUUGUAGUGAGUACAAUCAGUCAGUAAAUGCAUUCUUGAUAUGAAGCACACAUGAAUGUUGUCUAUAAAAUACUACAAUAUCUCAAAGGAACCCCAGGAAAAGGACUUCACUUUGGAAAGCAUGACUAAUUCAAGAUAGAGGUCUUCACGGAUGCAGAUUGGGCGGGGUUUAUAAAAGAUAGGAGGUCAACAUUUGGCUACUGUACAUUUCUAUUAGGAAAUCUUGUCAUGUGGAGAAGUAAAAAACAAAAUGUGGUGGUGAGGAGUAGUGCUAAAGCUGAGUUUAGAUUGAUAGCUCAUGGAAUUUGUGAAGUCUUGUGGAUCAAGAAAGUAUUAGAAGAACUAAAGAUUACAAUUCAUCCUCCAGCUAUGAUGUAUUGUGACAACAAGGCAGCUAUAAGCAUCCCCACAAUCCAAUCCACCACAAUCGAACAAAACAUGUUGAGGUGGACCAACAUUUCAUCAGGGAAAAAAUUGAGCAAGGGGAAAUAUGCAUGACAUAUGUGCCGUCCAAAAGCCAAAUCGCAGAUGUUUUAACUAAGGGGAUUCCAAGAGAAGACUUUGAAGAUAAUGUGGACAAGUUGGGUAUAACAGACAACUAUAUCCCAACUUGAAGGGGAGUGUUGAAAAGUUAACUUGGUUAGACUAGUUCAAAUUGGAUCUAGAAUUUUAGAAUGAAUAGGUUCCUUGAUUUAAGGAAUUAUUUGAAUUCUAGUUUUUUUGUACGUAGUCAAAGUUUUAUUAGGAUUAGGAUUAGAAUUAGAUUUGUUUUUUCGUUUCCUUAUUUUUAGCAUAGGAAUUAUCUAUCUGCUGAUUAUUGAAAUGGAUGUAACCCGUGUUCUGAAUCAUUAGAGCAAUAAAAUAAGUUUAUAAAAAAAAAAUCCUUUCACAGUUUUACCUAACCCCUCCCCCAACACUUCAAACCAUCCAAUGUAAAGACAGUUUUCAGUGUUGGUUAUCCAAUUACAUAAAGCAACCCCAUAGGCUUUCACUAUCGUGUCUCUCUAAAAUUGCAGUCAUGGUAAAAUCUUGGUCUAUUUAAUCAUCAAGGACACCCAAGCACAAGAAUUCUCUAAAAAUAGAAAUAGAUAAUUGAAGACUUGUUAUUGAACAGUAUAACACGACUUAUAUAUGCCCAUGUCAACCAAUAUAAUAUCGACACCCACAAAUAUAUCUAUCAUCUAUCUAGAUCCAUCAUAAUUUUUUGUGAAUGAAUAAAGUGAGUUAAAAAAUAGAAUAUGGACUUAUAUACAUGUGAUUUCAUCAUCACUAGCAUCUAGUAUUUUCCUUGGUUGCAGGGUUUCGGCUGAUCAGCAUUCAGGUGGAUGUUUUCAUGGCUAUAGGCCAGGCCUAUUAAGUGUAAAAGGGGCUAAUUCCAGUAAACCAGUUAAACCACCGCUAGCUUGUAACCGUAAAUAAAUUAAAACAAUUAUAUGCAAAACCAGUUUGGUCAAAAUCGCUCAUCAACCUAACCAGGAAGUAGCAGUUUUCAGUCUGCAAGGCCCAUUAUCCAGACCAAUCCUCUCCCCAGUUCCAAAGAAAAUACAUAUAUAUAAACAAAAACAAAGAAACAAGAUAAAACCCCAUAGUUUGAAUGUCAAAUUUCUUUAGGGGUAUUGAUAACAAGCCAACCAAUUAAAGGAAACAAUAACACUUUAAUAGGCCAUCUUAGCCAUUAGAAUUAUAAAAUAGGAACAUUGGAUAAAUGGAAAUAUGCAUUUGUCAAGUGAAAACCAUACCUGGUGGCCAAGAAAACCAUUCAAGACAGAGAUUUUUCUCCCACUUUGCUUUAGAGCCUCUGCUUGCCUCUGCUUGAGCUAGCAAUGUUGGGACAAAAGGUAAGGGAAUCAGAGAAAUCUCUUGGGCUUUCAUGAGACUCUUUAUAGCAUGUGACAAAUACUGGGAAUCACACUGCUGCCUGGCAAGCUCCAUACAAAUGACACCUGGACCACCCAAUGAUUUAAUUAUGGGAGGUGAGAGAGAGAAGAAAACAUGCAGCAAUAUCUAUCUAUCUAUCUAUAGAUAGAUAGAUAGAUAGCUAGAGAGAGAGAGAGAGGAAAGGUGAAGUCUUCACUUAUAAAGAGACAGAAAGGAAACAAGCAGCAACACUUUGUAAUCAAUUAGUAGUACAGAUAGUUAGAGAGAGGGAGGAAAGGCGAAGUCUUCACUUAUAAAGAGACAGAAAGGAAACAAGCAGCAAUAUUUUGUAAUCAAUUAAUAGUUUCUUCCCUGACCAGAGGGAUCCAGUCAUAUAGCUAACAAAUUGAAACUGCCUAAGUGUAGAAUAAACUACUUGCAAAAUUGCCAAAAAGAAUUUCAGGAUAAAUCACUCUAGAUUCUUAAAGCUCCAAAAGAUGAAAAAUUUUGUCAAGAACCUCAAUGUGCCAAAUUUUUGUUUUUUUUUUUUAAAAAAAAGAAGAUGUCACAAAGAUAUAAUUUUUUUAUUUUUUUAAUUUUUUGAUAGGAAACGAUAAAGUGAUAUAUUGAUAGAAAAAAAAAAGUACAAGAGAAGGAUGAGGAAUCCUCCCACCAAAGAAAAACUAAACUACAAGAAUACAAAAACAAGAAUCUACAAUGUAAAAACAAACAAUCUCUCUAGGUUAAACCAUCCCAUUGGAGCUACACACUGCUAGCCAAUCUAGUUGUAACACAUUAAGGGGAAUCCCCUUAAAAACCAAGGAACAAAAAGCCUAAAGAGAAGCAAGGAAGUGAAUAGAAUCCCAAAGAUUCUCUGAAUUCCUUGCUUUAUCCUCAAAUAUUCUCGCAUUUCUUUUCCACCAUACAACCCAAAUUAAAGCAAUGUACACAGCUUGCCACAAAACUAUCCCUCUCUUAGAUAAUCCACAACCCUUAUAAUUAAUGGACAUCAUGUCGGAGAUGCUCCUCGGGGGGACCCAAUCCAUCUUGGCUAACUGAAAUAAUCUAUGCUACAACCCCAUCGUCAAAGAGCAAUGUAGGAAAAGAUGAUCUGCUGAUUCACCAUGCUUCAUGCACAGCUUAGAAAUGUCAGGACUAAGACCUUUGUAGGGUCUUCUCAAUUGUAGUAAGUCAUUAGUAUUUAUCUUCUUGUGUGCCACUAACCAAACAAAGGACUUGACUUUGAAAGGGACUUGAGAAUUCCAAAUGAACUUAGUAGGAAAACUGGAGAAGAACCAGAAAAUUGGGACAAGGCUAGAAAGAAAGACUUGACUGUAAAAAGCCCUGAAGAAGAUAAAGACCAAGAUUUCACAUCUGAAACCGAUGGUGAUAAGUGUAAACAAUCAAGUGACCGCAUGAGGCAUUCUAAAUCUUCUAAAUCUUCUAUCUCAAACAAAGAUAUAAUUUUCCUAAUACUUAAAAUAAAUCCUCAAUAAAUUUAAUUUCUAUUUAAAAAAAAAGGAUAAUGAAAGUUAAGUGGUCCUUCUUCUAAGAACACUCUGCUCAAAUUUGAAAUAAGACAUUUAAUACUUAAGUGUAAUCUUCAGCAGAACACAGAGGUCGAAAGAAUAUUUGAAGAAUCCAAUCUGAUAAUAGAUUGAUACCAUGACAUAGGAAGAUGCAGCUCUCAGUAUCUGACAACGAACAAGCUUGCGCAAGAAAUUCUUCUGCGCAGAGAAAAUCUUGAUUCUGAACAGAAAUCAGACCCUGCAGCAAAUCAAAUAAAGCCAUCCACUUGUUACAUGAACUCUUUCUCUCCUUUGAGCACUCCUUGAAGUUCAACUCUGAGAUGCUCAAAUCAUUUUGUAGUUCAUGGUGAGGAUCCAUGAAUUUAAGACAUAGCCAACCGAUACAAUAAUCUGUUUUAAGCUCCAAGCAUUUUAUAUACUCUUUCCGUAGAUUUUUAAAAUCAUCUUUUGCAACAUAAGCACGGCAUAGUUGCAAAUGCGCAAAAAAGAGGUAGCAAUCAGGAAGCAAGAGUGUUGAAGCAUUUUCAGCAUGGUUGACACAGCCAAGAUGAUCACCACCUUGCAAACUGAUUUCAGAAGCACAAAGUAGCAGCUGGAACUUUUGGUAUUGACAACAUGUAUCCUUCUUUAAAUAUAAGUGGUUGGAAAUAGCCACAAAAUUUAGCCGCUCAAUUAUUGUACAAAGAUGUCUUGGAAAUCUCUCUUCACGUGCCUUCUGUAGAAAAUUAAGUAUCAACAAGUAACGUGCAUUAUGGUUCCAAGGUUCUCUAUGCAACCACCUGCAUAUUAAAAUAAAGAAAAAUAAUUACUCUUGUUUUAAAAAUAAAUCACAUAGCUAGGAAUAACCAUGGAUCUUAUUCCUAAUAGUUCUCUCAGCCUGUUUGUAUUGAUUAAAGAAGAAAAGAACACAAUCUUUAGAAGAGAAAAAGAAGCUAACUGAACUAGCAGAAAAAUAAUGAUCCGAUUCAUUAUAUUAUACAUGCAAAAUUCCAGGACAUGCUAUUUUUAACAGAAACUUUGAAAAGUGCUUAUUUCUGCAAAGUUAAAAGAGCAUAGUUUUUAAAAAAUUUCAUGCACCACACAAUGAUAACAUAAUUCAAGCCUAAAGGCACAGGAGAAGUAAGUUAUGAUACUUCUGCAGCUGUUGUAUUGCUCCUGGUCCACUCAUGCACCGGUAUCUGCAUGUUGGGAAAGAGAAUUUCUGGUUGCUCAUGCCACUGGCAAAGCAAGCAACUGCUCCAGCACCAAGGAUCUCAAAUGCUGACUUUGAACCUUCUUUAUUGGGAGAGUGGGAGGGGUCUACAAUACAGCACCUACUAGCACUAUGAGCAUCUUCCCCUUCUUGAGAGGAUAGUAAAAGAUAACCAAGAAGAUUCCUGUCAAUAGUAAAAGAACCCAUUGAAACAAAGAUAUAAGAAUUACAAAAUAUUAAUAAGCUUUGCAAGAAACAUGUAUCAAUGAUAUGAUGUGCAAUGGAAAAUAAUGCUACAGUCAAAAACAUAUAUUUAAUAUAAAAUAGCUAAAAUAAGGAUGACAAAGUGGAUGAGUGGCAAAACAAGAGAUGACACUAUGAGAUAUGGAAUUUUACAUAGGAAAAAAAAAGUAGACAAAUAUGAGAAAAAUUAAAUCAACAUACUUGUGUUAUGUGCAACAAAAACCAAGGUUACACAAAAUCAUACACGGAUGAGCAUCCUGCUUCUACACAAAAUGGGAACCAAUAAAAGAAUGUUCAAAUAAAAGAAUUCCUUGACAAUUAAAUUGACUUCUCCAUGUCUUUAAAAGUUAUUCAGUUUCUCUCCUGCGAAAUGGUCUAGAACAAACAUACCGCAGCUAUCCUCAAAGCUUUUUUGCAAUUUUUUCCUAAAAAUAAAAAACCAUGCUAUCUUAGCAAGACAUCUUUUAUGGUAUAAGGCAACAACCAUAACACAUUAAAGAGCGAGAAUAAUAGGUACAGAAAACUAUGAGCUGAACCAUAAUGAAGAAGAAUAUGAUUGGUCCAUUCCUCUUAGCACUUGCACAAGCAAACAUCAGUUAGCUAUAGUACUAACUCGCCUCCUUAGCUGGUCUAAUCUCACAAUUUUCCCCAAACCACCUCCCAAACAAAGAAACCCACUUCGGCGGAGUCCGAAACCCGCUGGGGAAAAGGAUCUCCGAUAACUAACUCCAAAGAACAAUUUUUUUUUUUUUUUGAUAGGUAAAAGAAAAUUCAUUAAAAGCCAAAGAGGCUAAAGAAAGAGUAGACACAAAGUAUACUAGGAUACAUAGGUGCAAAAGGCAAAAGGACAAACAAAUCUGACCCUUACUAGGUAGCUAACCAGUCUACAAAAUCUAUCAAAGAGAAAGUGUGUUCCUCUAUAUACACCCUAGCCCAAUUCACAAAAGUGUACAAAAAAGUGGAUUUAAUUUCUUGGUCAUUCCUAGCAACAUCAUCGAAGGUCCUCCUAUUCCUUUCUUUUCAAAUGGUCCACAUCAAGCAGAGGGGGCAGCUCUCCAAGCUUUCUCCCUUUUCUUGCCCACAAAGGAACCAUGCCAUCCCAAGAGGUUCCUUCUCACAGAGGAGUGCAUCACCCAUUGCACCCCAAAAAGGGAGAAGAUCAGAAGUCAUAACAUUUUGGUUUUCUCACAAAACAAAAGCUUCAACAAUUUCUACCUCCUAAGCUUCAACCCAAUGUCCAACACCUCCCACCUCCUCCCAAUCUUCCACUAACCAAGCAUCCUUAGAAUUGGGAAUGGAAUACAAAGCAUGAAACAUUGCUCUCAAAAAAGAAUCACCAUACCAUAGCUCAAGCCAAAACCUAAUUCUCUUACCAUCACUAACUUCAAAUUUAGUUCUAGCCUGAAUAUAUAUCUACUGUUUCCUUCUAGUUUUCCACAACCUCACCCUUUACCAUUCCCUCCCUUCAUGAGAACACCACCCACCCAUCUUUUCACCAAACUUGGCCGAUAUCACCUGUCUCCAUGACCUAUCCCUCUCCACAACAAACCUCAAACACCAGGUUCCAAGAAAGGACUUGUUGAGCAUAGAUAUAUUUUUGAUACCUAAUCCAACCCUACUUUUGUCCAAGCAAACAAUUGACCAAUUAACUAAAUGAAGUUUCUUCACCAAGAUGCUAAACCCCAACCCCCCCAAAGGCGGUGUUUAACAAUAAAAAAUAUAUAAGUACUAACAAGUGAAAAAACAAAAAGCAGGCAGGUCUUAUUUUUAAGCAUAUCCAUUUUUAAAAAAAAAAAAAGGUCUCAUUUUUAACUGUGAUUGACAACACAAAUGAGUCGCCACUUGUAUUUGAAUUCAAUUUAAAGACCACUGAAACAAAAAGUCAUAGACUCUAAACUAAACACUUCAAGCAAAAGAUAGUAAGUUGUUUUAAAAUUUUAAAUAAGUCUUUAAAAUUGUUAUUACCCUUUUCUAUAGUUAAACUAUUUUUAAUAUUCAAUCAUUCUUGAAAUAAAUUACAUUGAAAAAGAAACUCCUUUUAUCAAUAUAUUCCUUUGUCGUUUCCUAUCAAAAAAAAAAAAAAAAACUCCUUUUACUUUAUUAUCAUUUGUAAAUUUUAAUAUUGGAAACUAAUAUUUUUGACUGCUUUUAAAAUUUUCUCAUUUUCCAUAAAAAAUCAAAGAUCUCACGAAAAUAUGAAAAAAUUAAUAUAUUAUUGUUACCACAUAAUAUAUAAAUUGAACAUAACUUUCACUAGAAAAUGUGUGAGUACAAGCUCUCUAUCAAAUUAAUAUAUUUCAUAAAAAAUAAUAUCAUGCACAUUUACAUGUAUAACACGUGUUUUGUAUAAUGAAAUGUUAGUGUAUAAGGAUCACUUGUUACAAUAAUAAUAUAAGAAUGCAUUUGUAAAACAAGCAACUUUAACAAUUGAAUUAAACUCAACCAUUAUGUUUUAAAUGAUAUAAAUAAACUUUUCACUUCUGUGAAUUCAGAAUUUUCAAAGUUCAAUAUUUAUAAUUAAGUAGUAAAGUUUUCAAUAGUUAAUUUACAAUUGUAUAAAACUCAAACACCACUAAGAUUUCCAACCUUAAUCAAAUGAGAAAGAGAGAGAGAGAUUCCAACGUCCCAUGUCGCAAGUGGUAGAAUGCAUCAUCAAAGUGCUUGUGAGUAGGUUAUACUUCAAUGCUAACUGAUUUAGAAAUAUUUCUGGUUCAUUAACAGAUUAAUCAAAGGGGCAUUAAAAUUUGAAAUGAAGAAAAGAGGGAAGAGCUAGUUUGCAGUGGAUUCGAAGUCUUUCAAAAUUGUCAUUGAGUGGUAAAGGGAUGUUAGAGUGGUAAAACUGUAAAAAGAGGACUAGCACUUUCAAGCUGGAUUAGAUUCGGCAAGAUGAAUUUGUCCCUGUUGUUGGAAGGUAUAGAAUCUUGUUGUAGGGAAGAAGAUGGGAAAAAGUUUUUCAAAGUGGGAUGGAGGGAGGUCCUUCAGGUUGAAGAGACACUCCAAUAGGGCAGGAAGGUUAAUUCAAUAUUCGAUUAGAUCUCCGUAGAGGCCAAGAGGUUCAUGUUGAUUUUCCCUCAAGGAAGGGGUAUUUUUGGGGGGUGGUCCAUUCUAGCUAGGAAGUUUCAGGAUUUUGGAGUGGCUUCCUCCUCUCUAAUCCCAAGGAGAGCAUUGUUGUAUGAGAGAAUGUUGGAAGUGUAUACCAAGUUGGUGUUUGCCUGAGGGGUCUUAUGUAGAGGUGGUUAAGAAGAGUUUUGGUGUGAUGGGUGAGGCGGUAUGCUAAUAGCUAGGAGUCAAGGAAGUGCAACAUAUGAACAAGCUUUUGAAGCAUUGCUUAGCGGAGAGAUGGGGGGGAUUUUCUGACUCUGUUCCCCACUUGCCCUCUUUGAAGAGGUGGGCUGUGAAGACUUGGAACCUGAAUGGUAGUGUGAGGUGAUCUCUGCUUGGGGGUGCUCUCAUUCUCUUCGAUUUUGUUGAGGCCUCUAAUGCGGAGUUGGUGCUUGUGUACUUUGGCGCAUUGUUUCUUAGACGCUUUGUUUAUAGAAUAUUAUUAUUUGCCUAUUAAAAAAAUUAAUCAAAAUAUAGAAACCAUUAGAAAAAAAAAUUGCAUUUACAACCAAAUUAAAACUCAAACCAGAGCCAAGACAAAACAAGGAAAAAAGACUAAAGAUGAUCAUCAACAUUUGUAAAGGUUUGUCAUAAACAGCUGCAUAGACCACAACUACACGCCUCUCACCAUAUUCAAUUAUGGAGUAUGAAGCAAAGACAAUAUAAAUGCAGUCACCAUCAUUCUUGAACAUGAAUCAUUUUUUUUCCCAUGACUCAUGUAUUUCAUUACUUGUUUCUACAGCUCAAGGGUUUUAUAGGUUUUGAGAACCUUUCUGUUCCUAGAUUUCGUUGAUAAGGUUGGGAUUGGCCUACAGCCUCCAGAAGGAUGUUCUGUGAUUCCCUUUCCCUCUUUUGUUUCUUUGGGUAUUUCUUGUGUACUUCUUUUGCACUAUGGCUGUGCCCUCUUCCAUAAUUUAAUUCUUAUCAUUUAAGCAAUAUGAAAACUCCAUUUUAUAAAUAAAAGAUUAAAUUAAAAGUGCCACAAGAGGAUGUAACCUACAUGCACAGAAAGAAUGCUUGUACUGUACCAAGCCAGGCCGUAUAAAGGAAAAGGAAUAUAUAUAUGUAUGUACAUAUGUAUAUAUAUGUAUAAGAAGAAGAAGAAGCACUUAAUACAAUUUUUGUGUGCAUCCUGUAUACUUUUGUGUGCCCUUCUUUAGGUGCUUUUAAUCCUUUUUUUUUUUUAUAAGUUGGUGCUUUUAAUACAAUUGCCUUUACCUAUAAAAAAAAAGUACUCUUUCUCCGAAAGUACAACACGCAAGGCCAAUAAAAUCCACAACAGAAUGUUUUUUGUCUAAAAGGCCACUGCGCUCAGCAAUAUUAAGCUCUAUCCCCUAAAAGGUCCUUUUGUUUCUCUCUUUCCAGAUGAGCCAGAUUAAAAAAUGGUGGCAGCCCUGCACGUUUUUCUCUAAUUCUUCUUAAUGGGACUACCAUAUCAACUAAAAACUGACUCUUUCGAUAGCAAGCACGCACCUAAGAUAUCUGAAAUGAAGAGAACCAAAGACCAUAAUUCUUGAGAAAAAUUGAGAAAUGGAUUAAUAGACAAUCACUGACUCUUCCUCUUACACUAAAAACACUAGCUUACCAAGGUCAACUCUUUAACAAAUGCCAACUUGUCUAGCCUUGACCUCCAAACCUGCUCAUCCAAACAUAAUCUCUGAAAAUGACGGAAAUUCCCUCUGCUAAUCCCCUCAUCACCAGUCCAGACAUCCCCAAUCUCAACUUCCUGAUAGUGUUGCAUCUUCAAAAGCAUUAGCCUACCUAUGGAAGAAUUUAAUGAUUCUGUCAUCCUCUUUCAACUAAAGGGCUCUGAAGUUUUUACACUGAUUUCUUCAAGAAUGGCCAACUUCCUGAAUACUCCUUUUUUCUUUUGUCCUCAACUCCACCUCUUCCUUUGGGAGGGCUAAUUCACUCUCCUUCAAAUCCCAUCUCUGAAUAUUAUUUAAAUUUUCCUUGUGUUACUGAGAUAUACAUGGCAUACAUUCUGGCUGAAUGAAGUUUCUGUUUUUUGUUUUGUUUUAGAAAGUUUUUGUUGGCACUAGCUGGUAGGUUAAGGCAUUAAUUACGUGUUCACCCAAAACCCAUCUGUGUUAGUUUUAGUCACUGAUGUCACCAUAUUGGAAUCAUUAGUCAUGAAUAAAGCCAUUUCAUUAGUUAGAUUUUCUCCAUCAUCAAUGUUUGCUUCUGCUUGACUCUGCUGAUAGGCUACAUUGUAACAAGUCUUUAAAUCAUUGAUUCCAGAGUCAACAGUGAGCUAGCAUAUAACACCCAGCUCCUGUCAGGACCUGCACCUUCUGACCUUCAGUAAAUUAUACACUACAAUUUUACACUAGAAUUAUAUAAUAACAUUGUUGUAUUUAUAUGAAUUUAACUUCAUAAUUAUAUUUUCUAUAUUUUAUUUUGUCAGUGUUUAGAAAAGCAGGAUUGGCAUGCCAAAAUGCUGAACCAGGACAGAUUUGAACCUGAGAGAACCUGAUUUAUCUGCACCUAGAUCUUGAACAAGAAUGGUGUUCAAACUUUCUCGAAUCCAAGGUCGGAUGGUUUGUACCAAAAAAAUGUCACACUUACGUUAAAGUUAAUUAAGAUGGAAGACACUUAUUUCAUCAACAUAAGAAUUAAUGCAUCCAUAUCAUUUCAGAUGCAACUAGCACAAUACUUGGGUGGGUCAGCUGAAAAGGUGCAGCCCAAUGAAAGUAUAAAUUUAGUGCAUUCCUGUUACCUUAUCAAAACACUGUUAGGGAACAUGUGAAGAGCUUUUCUAAGGUGAUGAACCCCAUUUUCAAAUCCAAGGCAGUGCUCUGAUCCUUGUUUGACCUGCAUAACACAAGCAAAACAAAGAUCAGCUUCACAUUGACCAUUCAAAUCCAUGUAAAACCAGCUAAAAGUAAGAUGCUUAAGCUGCAACUAUACAAUUAGAAAGAGAAAACUCACCAGUUUACCAAGUGCUACUAAACAGUGCAUUCUAGCGAUCUCUUCAUGAGAUGCAAGAAAGUAUCGACUGCUUGAAACAACUGAUUCCAGCUUAUUACUUUCAUCAAGAGCGUCAAUGGCGGACACAACAAAACUAAUCUUUGAAUUCUGAAAUAGUUCUUUCGGCAUUUUCAAAAUGCUUAUUAUUGCUGAUUCCUGCCCAGAUAUUUUAUACAGAAAUUUACAUAUGAAACUAACAGAAGUGGCCCUAGAAGCCUGUUCCAUGGCAGAAACACUUGCAGCUAGAUCCCUUGCCACAGACAGGGCAAGGUCAUUUUCACCAAUUUGCCAUAAGGAGAUAGCAUAUAUUUGCAAACCUUGUGCAUCAAGCAGACCUAGAAGAGUAAAUACAGUAUACAAUGUGUUAGAAAAAUGAAAUGCAACUUACAGGAUCCUACAUUCGACUUGACAAAACUUGAUCCAAGCAUCUAUUCUAAAAAAUAGCUUUUUCAUGUUUGCAUUUGAACAGUAUUAUUUUUGUUUUCUAAUCGGAAAUAGAAUUUUAUUACUAGAAAGAGAUAUAUAAGGAGAGAUCCUUGAGGAAAAAGAAAAUGCAAAAAACCAAAGCUACAAAAAAAUUGAAUAUCAGAAGAAAUCAGCAGGGAUAAAAAUCCCCUCCAAAAACCUCAAGCGAUAUAGCUCUCCUAUUGGCCAGCAUAUCCUAUUCCUGACUUGCUAAAUUAGGCUGUAAUAAUAAAGCAACUUCCUUUGGAAGCAUCAAAGUUCAAUCAGUUUUAGACUAUCCAUAUCAGAAAACCAUUGAAAGUGUAUGAGCACUAGCCGGGGGGAAACAAUCCCCUACAUAACCUGUCUGUGUGGCUGCUUUAAUCCUUUAUUUAUCUUGAAUGCACUAUAAAAAUCAUAGAACCAAUAUUGCAGCAUAAGAAAGGAGUAAGCUAAUGUCCACUCCCCUGGGUUUUAAAGUAAGCGAAGUUGUAGAAAGAAGGAGCUAGCAAGUUAGUCCUAACCCAAACCUUCUUUCUUCAAAUCUUCACAUUCUUGAACAGCAUCAAGGGCAUUCCCUGCCUGCACCAAACAAAAGCAUUUUCUGAAGAAUGGUAAAUAAAGAUACAAACAUCAGAUAAAUUCAUAUUACUAAUUCAACAUUAAGCAAGAUGCGAAUGAGAGAAAUAUACUGAAAAAGAUCCAAAAUCCUUACUUUACUGAGUGAUCUUGCAAUAUUAAAUGAUAUGUCUCUCAAAUGGGAUUUCAAUAUGGAGCCUGAAAAGGUGUUGAUUGCGCAGCGUGCUAGCCUAUAAGAAGCAACAGCAGACUGAUAAUCACACCGUGCCUCACAAACCAGUCCAUUCAAAUUAUGGGAUUCUGGAUAGUAAGGUGCAUGCUGCACAGCCUGUUGGAUGGCUCCAAAGACCUGUAACAGCAAUCACCUGCAAUAUUAAACUGAUACUUCCAAAAGCAUUUUGGUGUUAGCUCUUGUUGCACAAGAAAAUCAAGGAAUGAUAUUAUAUUUUUACUUUUUAGAAUAGUUGUUUCCUUACACAUACUUUGAAUGUGGUCAUACCUGUGAGGAUGAAAGGUGACCUGAAAGAAGAGCAAGCUUUGCAAGGCCAAUUUGAAACUCUGCAACCUGCCAAGGAAUCAGAGUUUUAGGUAAAAUGGUAUAAGGUGUUAGAGCAAGAUGUAUAGUCAACAAACUUAAAAUCCACCAGCAGAUACCUUGCCUUAAAAAUAUUAGAGCAUAAUGCCAAAAAAGAGCAAAGAUAAAAAGAUGGAGAAGAAGAAGAAAAAUUACAAUCAUCUUUUCGCAGAGAACAAAAAUAUUACUAAUGGAGAAGGAAGAAAAAUUAGAAUUUUUUGGUCAAAUCAAAUGAGUACCACCUGCUCUCCCCUCACCAGUGUCAGUCAAUAGAGAUGGAGAAGAAGUAAAAUUACAAUCAUCUUUUUGCAGAGAACAAAAAUAUUACUAAUGGAGAAGGAAGACAAAUUAGAAAUUUUUUGGUCAAAUCAAAUAAGUACCACCUGCUCUCCCCUCGCCAGUGUCUCCCUAAAGUCAAUACUCUUUUGAUUCAAAAAUACCUAGGAUUCUACUAGAGCAACACAAGUGAGGGGGAAGAACCCCAGGGAUACUUCUACCUUUAAAGGAUGUCAAACCACUCCCAUAAAAUUAUUUGAGUUCUACUACAAUAUCCACCUAUCCAGUUAGGACCAUACAGAAUGAAGAGUCUCAUCAAUAAUGUCAAAGUUUAAAUAUCCUUUUUAUAGAUUGUACUUGAAGAGCAUACAUACAAAGGGACAUGUUACUCACGGGCAAUAUCUGCACAGCACGUAAACAACUCUCAUAAGCCUCAUCUGUUGUGGGAUCCCUGAAGAAUGAAGAAUAUUUCAAUGCACAUCAGUGUCACAUGUGACAACUCCAAACAAAGUUAUAUAUUUUAUUUAGCACAUGACAAAGCAUCUACCUGGCAUGUGUAUCAGCUGACAUGCCUGCCCAUGGUAAUGCAAGUGAAGGAUCUAUACUUCUAGCAGAAUCAAAUGCCUGCCUUGCCAAUUGCUUCUCGCCCUCUUUUCUAUAAAGCUGUGGGGAAAGAAAGCAUUUAAACACCUAUCUGGAGGGUUCACACAAAUUAAUGUACUUAUGUUUCAGGUCACGCUACACUCAACACUGAAGCAUAAUAUGAAGCCAACCAAAUCAGCCUGACUUCUGGAAAAAUAAUUUAGCUUUCUUUGUUUCUUUUCAAAUAAGAGUUCUAUAUUAAAUACCCUAAAGGAAAUAAAUUGUUGAAAUUGAUAUAGAACAGCACCUUCCCAAGGCAUGCCCAUGCAACAGCUAAAGAUACAUCUAACUGCAGUCCCCUGAUAAAAGCAUGUUGCUUCAGUGCAUUAUGACCAGAUACAAAUCCCAAUGUCACCCAGAACUCAUUAUUGUCACCCUCAAGUAACAAGCCUCCCAAAGACAUUUUUUCAGGUAGCUGCCUGGUUAAUGAGAUGGUAAACUAAGAUAUCAAAUAAUAAAACAUAUGAGAUGACUAAAUAAGAACAUGACAAGCCAAGAUCUUACCAAGAAUUUGGGUUAUGUUUAUCAUCCUCCUUCAAAGAGCAAAUGAGAUCUGAACUUAUUGCAAUGUCAGUAUAGAUAUUAGCUUGCCAUGGGGCUAAGUGCAAAGCCCUCUGGUAAGAAUAAUUGGCAGAUAUCGCAGACAAACAGCAGGAUCGCUUCCAAUUAAGAAUGGAGUUACUGAAAGCUUCCUCAUCAAUCUCUAGGUUCCAGUUUUCCUCCAACCACGGUAAACAUUUUGCAUAUGCAAGCUAACAAGGACAGCACGUAGUAAACCAGUUAUGUCACAAAUAUCACAAUUUUGUCUUUUACAUUAAAAGGAACCAAAUCCUAUUUCAAGAACAAGCAUUCCACUGAGAUCAACAACAAAAUAUUACCAAAAGAAAAUAUCACUUAGGUUUUACAAAUGGUAAGAAGGUUGGAAGAUAACCCCCCAAAAAGUGAAUAUUGAGUUGAUCAUACCUGAAUAUCCCCAUGCAAUUUCCAAAUACAUGAAACAUUUCCAGCCAAACAGGUAGUUGAUUUUGCAACUUUAGAUGCUUCCUGCAAUGAUUUAGAAACUUAUUUUACAAAUGACUGUUUUUUGAUAUUGAGAGUGUUUCCAUGAUAUACAUUGUGCAUCCAAAUCCUAUAAGUUUAAGCUCUUAGGAAAAUUGCGUGUCAUGUGGGAGGUCACAUGAUUGAACUUCCCCAUAUGUUUAUUCCCUCAAUUUAUUAAGCCUAAAAGAGGCCACUUUAUUUCCCCAAUUCAUUAAGCCCAUAUGUAAGCCUAAAAGAGACUACAUGUGAAGGACAGUGUUAGUGUGCAUGAUAUACAUUUUUUUUAUAGGUAAAUUUUUGUCCCCCAUUGGGACUUGAACCUGGAACUUCCCACAAACCCUCUCCACCGCUUUACCACUUGAGCCAGGCCUCAAGGGCAGUAUGUAUGAUAUACAUUGUGGACUGAAAUACUAAAAGUUUAAUCUUUUAGGAAAAUUAGUUGUCUAACAGAGAGGAUUAAGAAUGUAGGCACAUCAUUUAAGUUACAGCAUGAGUAACCUCUAAAAGUGAAGUUCCCCAUCUAAAAGCACCCAAAUUGGUACAUUCCUUUGACAAACUAAGCAGCCCAGAAGCAAGACCAUAGUGUGCAGAUACACUUUUAGGUGAGAUCUCCAAAGCUUGCCGAAAUUGCUCGAUACCCUUCAUACAGAUAAACCAAUUUAUGUCAUUUUGUACAUUGUGAAUAUUGAAAUAAGGACUGAAACACUAUGAGAAAAAUACAAUACAAUUGCUACUAUACAAGGAUCAAAACAUUAACAGUGAAUAGAAUCAUUUUAAGGAAUUAUAAUUUUAAUACUGAAAUAUCCUAUGGAUCCUAGUUUGUUAAACUAUUACUUACGAUUUUAGGAAGACUUGAGUAAUCAAAUGUGAAAUUGAGUCAAGGAAUUUCAUGUUCAAAGGAGCAAGCAGAACCAAUUGUGAACUUCAUAACAAGUUUGAUGAUUGUAUACACAUUUUUCAAGUUAACAAUGCAAUAAGUUCAAAUACAAGCCAGAAUAAUUCAAAAUCAUUGGAUCAACAACGUUUCAAUGCACUCAAACUUGAGUUCAAAAGGAUCUCUUUCUCAAGAGCAGGGACAUUUUUUUUUGAUAGGCAAAAGCAGAAAUAUAUUAGAAAAGGGCACCUUGAGGAAAACCCAAAAGCAUACAGGGGGUAUACAAAAGGCACCUUAAGGCCCAAACAAAAGAAGAGAAGAUACAAAACCGUCCCUCAUCUAGCGCCUAGCCAAUCAAGAGCAGGGACAUUAAAUGCGGGAUGAUUAAUGUGUGAGGUCAAAUUAAAAUUUUUUUUUUUAACAGAAAUGAAGAAGAAUAUAUUAAUAGAAGAAAAGAUACAGGAGAAAGAAAAGUUACAAAAGAAAGAGAAGAAACCAAGGGAAGGAUGAGAGGUCCUUCCUACACAAACUGAACAAAGGAGAAAACUCCUAACAAUAGAACUCUAAAAACAAAGAGAAACCCCCAACAAUCUUCAAACUUUUGAAGCGCAAACCGCAAUCUAGUUGAGUUGUAAAACACUUAGAGGAACUCCUCUAAAAGCUUCAGUACAAGAAGCCCAUAGAGAAGAAUAGAACCGAAUCAAAUCCCAUAACAUCUCUUCCGUUCUCCCUUUAUCCUCAAAGAUCCUAUUGUUUCUCUCUUGCCACACCAUCCAAAUCAAGGUAAGGCAAGCGAUUUGCCAAAGUGUCUUGCCUCUUAAUGAGUUCCCCAUGCCUUUAAAAGUAAUAACCAACAUGUCCUCAAAACUCCUUGGAGGGACCCAAACCAACCUUGCUAGAUUGAACAACUUGUGCCAGAGUCCAAUGGUAACAAGACAAUGAAGAAAAAGGUGGUCAAUCGACUCUCCAUUUCCUUUGCAAAGAAUGCACUAUUGAGGAUAGAGGGAUUUGUAGGGUCUUCUCAAUUGCAACUUAUCGUUGGUGUUUACCUUCCCAUGUGCUACUAACCAAGCGAGGGCCUUAACCUUUGAAGGGGCUUUUAAACUCCACAAGAACUUGGCCAGAAGGAACAAGAUAGGAUUUGAGACUUUUGACAAGGCCAAGAAAAAAAAUUUCACUAAAAACAAUCCUGACGAAGACAAAGACCACGCUCUUAAAUCUACUAAAGAAGGAGAGAAAAGCACAUAACUAAGGGAAGACAUUAAUCUCUGAAGGAGAUCAAUUUCUGAAUCUGUAAGAUUGCGACGAAAGUUAAAAUUCCAAGACAGUGGAAAGGAAUUACCAAGGACAUUUGAGACAGUGAGGUUUUUCACAGAAAUAACUCUGUAAAGAUCAGCAAAUUGAGAACACAAAGUUUAGUUACCCCACCAAAGAUCUUCCCAAAAAAGAAUUCUCUCCCCAUUGCCCACCACUAGGCGGACAAAAGGGGAAAAAACCUGGAAAACUUGAGCAAUAGUCUUCCAAGGACAUCUGUGUGACCAUCUAACCACCAUGUUGGCAUCCCAUCCAUUAGGAUGUGUCCCAUAUAUACUCGCAAUUACCUUAUGCCAAAGACCACUCCUUUCUCUAGGGAACCUCCAAAGUCAUUUCCCUAAAAGAGCAAUUUUCUCAUAGAAAUCUUCCCAAAACCCAAACCUCCCAACUCCUUUGGUCUACUAACAAUCUCCCAUCUGAUAAGAUGAUCUUUCUUCUCUUCCCCCGCCCCAGACCAAAGAAAAUCCUUUUGCAUCUUCUCAAUCUUUGAAGCUAUUGAUGCUAGGAUUUUAAAGAGGGAGAGGAAGUAGAUAGGGAUGUGAGACAGACAAGACUGAAUUAAAGUAAUCCUCCCUUCCCCAAAGACAAAAAGGUCUUUUUCCAACCAUCCAAGCCUCCUCGAAAUUCUCUCAACCACCGGAUCCCAAAAGCUUAUUGUCUUUGGGUUCCUUCCCAAUGGAAGGCCUAAAUAAGACAAAGGUCACUCUAACACUCUGCAAUCCAAAACCGAGGCCAAGCUAGACAACAACUCAUGCCUAGUGUUAAUACCUGAAAUAGUGUUUUUUUCUAAGUUGAUUUUUAAACCAGAUACUUGCCCAAAAACCAAAAGGAUAAUCUUGAGAUUUUGAAGAUGUUCCAUAGAGGUUUUAGAGAAAAAAUGGUGUCAUCAGCAAACUGUAACAAAGACACUCUAGUCCUAUCCCUCCCCACAAAGAAACCCUCAAUUAUCCCAGUUUCCUCUGCUCUGAUCAUCAACCUACUUAGAACAUCUGCCACUAGAGUAAAAAGAAAAGGAGAAAGGGGGUCUCCUUGUCUCAAACCUCUAAAGGCCUUAACCCAACCCUUUGCACUCCCAUUAACUAGGAUUACAAAACUUGAUGAAGACAAACAGCCCCUUAUCCAAGAUCUCCAUUUCUGGCUGAACCCCUUCCUUUGUAGCACAUGAUCUAAAAAGCCCCAAUCCACAUGAUCAUAGGCCUUCUCAAAAUCGAUUUUGAAGACUACCCCUUCCUCCCCUGACCUUCUUUUCUCAUCCACCACUUCAUUAGCUAUCAACACAGCAUCCACCACUUCAAAUUUAAAUUUUACCUUCAAACAUUUAAAACACUGUGAUAUUUAACACCAAGGAUAUCAGAGAAGGGAUGGCACCCCUGUGACUAAAGUCCACACUGUGUUUCUCAUUAAAUAGUAGAAAUUUAAAUUAGAUUAUUGAAUUAAUCUAGAUCAGACCCAUUGAAGUUGAAGUAUUGAAUGAUGAGCAAUGCUUUAAAAUAGGGCCAUUCAACAAACCUGAAAAGGGGAAUAGAUUUAAGGUCGCUGACUCAGCCAUGAGUCAACUGGAAUUGAAUAUGAUGUCACAAUUAUUUAUUAAUUGAAGAAAAAUAAAAUGAUUGAAUAUAAUCACAUAAAACAUAAAAUCAAAAGAAUUUUCUAAAAAUUCUAACAUGUUUUUAGAAAGUAUAAAGAAUCCCUAAAGUAGUAUAACAUUGCAAUUAAAUAUACAUAAGAAAUCAUUAAUCAGGAAUCUAUCCAGCAAACAUGUAGGAGACAGAGAGAGGGAGAGAGGGAGAUAGAGAAACCUGGUGCUGAUAAUCACCAGUUUUGGAAAGGGGUAAUUGAAGUUUAAAUGGCUGGAAAAGUACGAGCUACCCCUGCUGCCAAAGAAGGAUUUUGUACAUUAAAAAACUAGCCAGGUAUUGGAAACUGUGUCCAUUCAAGCAGGUCAACAAUUGAACCAAUGGUGUAACUGAUGCUCUUAAAAACAAUGGUUUUUUAGCAUAUGGCAAUCACAGGGUGUAAACUAUCCUGCAAAAUGACCAGUUGAUGGUCCAACUGUUCAGUCAAUUCAAGUUUUUAAAACAUUGAUGAUGAGAUUGUUUGCCAUCUCCUUCAUAUAAAUAGACAUGAAAAGAAGAUUAGGACACCCUAAGGCUUAUGGAAGUAACAAAAAAUAAUAAAAAAGAGGUCUAAUGAAUUUUUGCAUUACAUAAGUAUCAAAAUUUUAACAACAGAUUUUCAACAUGAAAUCUAAGGUGUCUAAUGAAAAAAAUGAGAAUAGUUUCUAGAUUGACUUAAGCUAGUUCCAAAAAAUACAGAAAUAGCAUCGUAGAUUUAUGUUUGAGUCAGUACCUUAACAUACCAAAAUAUUAUCUCUAACCAAUAUGAUUCUAGUUUUUUUCUCUAGGAUGGAUAGCAUUUUAUUUCAAGAAAACUUCUUUUUUUUUUUUUGAUAGGUAAACAAUAACCGUCACCAAAAAGCUCCCAAAGUGCACAAAGAGAGUAUACAAAGGGAGCCAACAACACCAACCAAAAAAAGAGGGACUAACAAAAAACAACACCCCUCAACAAGCCCCUAACCAAUCCACAAAAUCUACAAUAGAGGAGAUGCCUAAAACCAUACACAAAUUGGACUACGCCCAAAGGUUACAAAGAAAAACAAGUUUAAUCCCUUCGCUAGACAACUCUUUGUUAUCAAAUGCUUUACCAUUCCUUUCUUUCCAGACUGUCUAAAACAAACACAAAGGAGUGGCCCACCAAACCUUCCUUUUCCUACCCACAAAGGGCCUGUGCCAACUUAAGAGUAACACUCUUACUAAAGAGGGCAGCACCCAAGACACACCAAACGGAGAAAACAAAAUAUGUCAAACAACCCGAGUUUUGUCACAAUAGAUGAGAAUGUGAUCAAUUGAUUCUUCCUAUUCAUGACAAAGAAAACAUUUAUUUGCCACUGACCACCCUCUCCUCUUUAAAAGAUCCAAAGUUAAGACUUUAUCCCAAGUAGCCUCUCAUGCAAAGAAGUCAAUCUUAGGUGGCACCCAAGAAUUCCAAAUGAUUGCAACUGGGAAAUUGGAAAAACCUCCUGGUUCCAAAACUUAGUACAGGCCUUUAACAGAAAAUUUUCCACAAGAAACUUAUACUAAACAUAACUAAAUGAACACUUCUUUUUUUUUUUUUUUUUUUUGGAAGAUUUUUUUUAUUAUUUAUUUAUAUGUAAAGCAAUUGUAUUAAAAGCACAAAAAAAAGGUGCCUAAAAUAUACAUGAUGUAUACAAGGCCAAAAAAAUGAGGGAUAAACAAAAAAAAUACCCUCACUUCACUUACAGCCCAACCAAUCAAUGAAAUCAAAAAGAGACAAAGAAACAAACUCUAUAUGUACCCUAACCCACUCAAAAAACAUAUACAUAAAGAAGCAAAAAAUAGCAUGGCAUGUUAGUUCAAAGUCUUCAAAGGCUCUUCGGUUUCUCUCCUUCCAAAAGGUUCGAACCAACUAAUGAAGGUCUCCUUGAUUGAGAAUGACAUCACCUACUGUACAUCAAAAAUAACAAAAAUAAGGUGCCACAACAUUAUUGCAUUAGGAUAGUAAAGGAGAAUAUGGUCAACUGACUCUUUUUCAUCCUUACACAAAUAACAUCUGUUUGGAAGACUCCAACCCUUCCUUUUUUAGCAGAUCCAAAGUUAGAAUUUUUCCCAACCUACUUCCCAAGCAAAGAAGCUGACUCUCAUCGACACCCAAGGAUUCCACACCAUGCUUGUGGGUAAACCUUUCGAGUAACAACCUACUAAGGAGGAGUAAAAAAAUUUGAUUGAAAAAGUAUCUCCCUUUGACAACCGCCAAGCCAUAACAGCCUCUACUCCUCCUCCAAUCGCAUGCCCUUGUAGCCUUCUAGGCAACCCUUCCACCUCACCUAAUUCCCAAUUAUUUAUCUAUCUUGUGAAUAUUAGAUUCCAACAACCUGCUUCCCCAACUUGCUCCCACAUCUGAUCCACCCAGGCUUUUUUAUCAGUGGCGAUUGAAAACAACUCUUGAAAAGUCAUUAAAGGUUCCUCCCCACACCACCUAUCUUUCCAAAACCUCACCAUCUUGCCAUUUCCCACCCUAAAGCCAAUCCUAUCAUAGAAUCUCUUCCACCCACACCAAUUCGCCUUUCAAAGACCCACCCUGUGGCCUUCCGUCAAAGUUCUAGAACACCAAUCCCCCUUUUCCUCUCCAUAUUUCCUUAUAACCACCUAGUUCCAAAAGGAAUCAUUCUCAAAAGCAAAUCUCGAACACCACUUCCCAAUAAAAUCCUUAUUUAGAAGAAAGAAAGAAAUUAAGAAAAAAAAAAAAAAAACUUUCUAACUACUAGACCCCCUUCUUUUUCCCUCUUAAAGAAAGCCCCUUUGGAUCUUCUCCAAUCUAAGAUUCACCUUAUAAGGGAUCACGAAUAAAGACAUGAAAUAUAUAGGCAAACUAGAUAAAGUGUUCUUUAAUAAAGUCAAUCUCCCUCCUUUUGACAAGUACUGCAUCUUCCAUAAGGCAAGUCUUCUCUAAAAUCCUUCCUCCACUACAUCCCAAGCUUGAAUGGAUUUGAAGGAGGCUCCCAAAGGGAGGCCCAAAUAAGUAGAAAGGAGAGCAAAGGGAACAUUGGUCAGCCAGUAGUUAAUAACGUUAUAGCUUGAGAACAUCAUAAUAUGGCAUUAAACCCUGAUUUAAUUUAAUAACUUUCUCAGGCAUCUUGAAAAGAAGUUGAGAUAUUCAGUGCUCUUCAUGAGAUGAAGGAAAACUGAGCAUGGAUGAAUCUAAGAGACUGUCAACCAAUUUCCUUGCACAAGUGGGAGGCUCCAACAAUCUUCAGAUGCAUUAUUUUGCCUCAACUGGAAUUGAAUCAUCCAUACAUUUGGUGGAAGGGCCGUAAUUAUGUAAUUGCUUAAAAUUUUGAUUUGGGAUUUGAUUUUCAAGUUUUUGAUUGUUGAAAAUAACAGAAAGACUGUUAUAGCAUGAGAUUUAUAUAGAUGGAUUUUUUUUUGACAGGUAAGCAGCUGGAUGUUAUUCAAUUGCAAAUCAUGAUUUUGUCUCAUAAGGAAAAAAAUUCCUGCAUGCCUGCCAAGAAAAACAAAAUGCAAGCAGUAGUAAAAAGAAAAUGAGAAUAUUAAUAUUUCAACCCAUCUAAACAGCUAAUGUGCUACCAAUAUUAAUUUAUCAUCCAAAAAAAGUAUCACACGUAAGAAAGAUCACAACAGAACUAGGACAGACAAGUAUGCCAAAUGAAUCUUACCUUUCUAAAGGAACCAAGCAUCAAAAAGAUGUUUCCACUCUCAACCAAUGCGAAGAUUCUGGAAUCCUCCAAUUCAAUGACUCUCCCAUAUGACUGUUGGAUUCCCAUGAUAAAACAGCCAUUUAAUUAAAAGAAUAUGUGAAAAUAACUGGAAAAUCAUUAAUUUCAUUUGUUACUAGUUUACAGCUUAAAGCACUGUUACAGUCAAUUCUUUUCUUCUCUUCUUUCAAUCAUAACUGUUACAAUUGAUUCUCAAAUAUUCUAAAUCCCAUGGGCAUACUUUAUAACCAUUUGUUAUGUGUUACCAUGCACAUGGCUUCAAGACACAAGAACAAAUGUCAAACAUCAUGGGAGUGAGAGGAUAAGAUGACAAGAAUAAAUUCUUUUUAUUGGAAAAUGUUACUUCUUGUGAGAAAAGGUACAAUAAAAUACAUUAAUUUAGAAAGUUUGAGAUCCGUGGACAAUGGUGACACUCCUACAAAUAAAGACAAACAUGUGCAACAUAACAUAGAAAAUCCCUCUUGAACCACUAUCAUAGUGAGUCACAAGCGUUCCUGCUUUUUGCAAUCAAUAGACCUCAUUUCAGCAAUUUUGAAGGUUGGAAAGCUUAGCCAGUUUGAGAGGAGAGUGAAUUGAAAGGAAAUUAGGGAACAUAUAGCACUUUUGACGAAGAAAGGACCUAUCCAACCACUUCUCAACCAGCCCAGCUGCUAGUCACUGUGGCGAGGCUUGGCUCUCCAUCCGUGUUAUUUCACUCACUGAGUUCUGACAUAUUCAAAUCAUAUUCAGGUACUUACGAUCCUGUAGGUUAGGGUUUUAGGAAAAGAGUGAAUCGCUUUUCUUUGAGACUAUUCCAUUGUUGUCACUUCUGGUUGUUCAUGCUAAACUUUUCUAACACUUUGAGUAGCCCAAUGGACAAGGCCUAUGUAUGAGUUCUUAUCUUGCUCUUGCCACCCCCUGCUCACCGAAGUCGUCAUUUCCUAUGACAAAGCGGCAAGAGGGAAAAGGAAGAUUUAGAUUCCACCGAAAGUUAGAUUAAUAAAAAAACACUCUUUAAGCUCUCAAUUAAGUUGACCUACAAGACGUGGCAUUCACCAGAGGGCAAACAAGAUCUCAUAAACCUUCCCCAGAUCAAAGGUCCUUGUGCUCACACAGUAACAGGGGACAUAACCAAGUCGGUAAACUUGGUCUUAAUACAGGCCCAAUCUCAGAGCUUAGCCUUUGGUUCCCUAUGCUCAGCAACAACAGCUCAACUUUGACUGAGGUGAUGCCCCUGGCCAAUCUCAUGUUCUACCACUCAUUCAAACCCCGGUGUUGAAUACAAUCACAUUGAGGAAGAACCAUCACCUCUAGAUGGAUCAAAAUGGCAACCAGAACACAUCAGUCAACCACCCUCAAUUUCUUGACUUUUUGAAUAAGAUUCAGACAACAAUCAGGCAGCCAAUUUAAAAUUUCUUCAGAGACCUCAACUAGAAUUUUUGGGCCAGCACCACACUGAUGUUCAUUGCAGUUGGAUUCAAUUUAAUGUACCAGACCAGAGCUCCACUUGCAGCUCAGAGAACCCUACCAUUUUUUAUCUCUACAGCCUUCAUAUGGUUACUUCCCCUAAGUUCCAACAACAACUGUAAAGGAGGACUCAGACAAUGAAAGGCACAACUCAUUUAUCCAAAUAGAAAUAUUUGGCCUAAUUGGUCUGGAUUAUUCUUUCUUUGAUUAUAAAAAUGGCAGAAUAGAUAAAAACACUCAAGAGUUUUGUUAUAUUUCCUUUAGCUCCAAUUUCUCAUAAACCAAAUAAAUAGGAAAUUAGAAAAAGCGACGGAUGAAACAGAAGAUAAAUAUUGGGGCGGCAGGAUUGGGAAAGAAAGAAAGAAAAGUACCUUUAUAGCUGCAGUAAACAUACCCAAUCGCUGGUAGGCAAGCCCCAGAGCCUAAAGUGGGGAAGGAGAACCAGAAAUAUAUAUAUAUACAUCAAUAUCGCUCAGGAUGGAAACAAGAACAAGAGCUUUUAUUUUAGAAGAAAGAAUGAAAAACAUGAUAAAUGCCCCAUAUAAAAAGAAUACACACUUCCCACAAAUCAGCACAGCUAGGAUACCCUCGAAUGGCAUGUUGAAGACUCUGUACUGCUUCAGACCAUUUAUUUUGAUGGAGCUACCAAGUAAGAACAUGGAGUAUUUGUUAGAUGAACACAUGGCUUCGGCUAAGUUCCACUAACCGACUAGUUGCAAAUGAAAUACAUGGAAAAAUGCGACAAAGAAAAGAAACCUGCAGGUAACCCAAUCUUCGAAAAGCCCAAAAAGCCCUAGGGGACUUCUCUGAUGCUUCCCUGCAGACCGCAAUCUCUAAAGUCUCCUUUCCUCCUAGGUCCAACAAAUCACACAACGCUUCCUGACACAAAAUUAAUACUUGCUUGAUCGAAAACCAACAUGUCGAGGGAUGAAACCAUUUUUUUUAAGGAAAAAAUUUGCACUAACCCCAGAAUCGGAAUCAUUGGGAUUAAGGGUGACCGAUCUCUGGUAACACUUGAAAGCUCUCUGAGUAUCAACGGAUACCCUUGCGUAAUAAUGCCCCAAAUAUCUGAAUGCGUCCCCAUUCUGCGGAUUUAAUUUGGCUGAUCUUACAAAAUGCUCCGCAGCUUUUUCCUUCCACUCUUGUUCCUCCUUUUCCCACAAGAAGACCCCCUGAAACGACAUUUUCAAAUUCAUAAGAAAAAAUUCCCACCAAUGGAGAACCAAAACCGCUUAUUCUUUUCAUCAUCAUGACAAGAAACAUUACGAGAUUAAAAUGAAGGGAGGCGUCAUCAGGAUUGGAAUCCACAGACUCUUGUAGCUUCCUUAAGACAUGGUCAUUUUUCCCUUCCUCUUCCUGUGCUUCCUGAAAAACGAAACUGUUUGAGAGAGAUUCUGCAUAUCCAAAACCCACCAAGCGCAGAAGAUGGCAAGAAACCCAACCAUGUCCUUCAACUGGGAUUCGAAAAGGGUACUAAAACCCUAAACCGCUGAUUCAGACCUCAGUGCUGCUGAGACUGUCACACCCCGGAUCCGCUCUUAUUUCUCGUAUUCAUAUAUGCAAAUAUUUCUUGCUUUGGGCCCAGGCAACCCAAAUCUCCACUUUGCUUCCUAAUUUCAAGAAACACUAUUUACAGAACGCUUUUGGCUGCUUCCAGAUCCGCGGAUCCCCGCUGCUCUUGCCACACUAAACACUCUUCCCCUCUCGUAUCUCCACGCGGCAGAAGGUGGUGUGGCGAUAGUCAUGAUCUCGCCUGCGCUAAAAUUCAUGAUUUAAUCGGUGACUAACGGCAUACUAAGAGUCCAUUCAUGUUUCUUAAUUAUUAAUUACUAAAUAAGGAGGAGGAAUUAUACGGUUGCUGUCUGGCUUCUAUUUCAUUGGCUGCCGUAUCAGAACUACGGUCGUAUCUGUAAUUGUGCUCAAAAAUAAUUUUUAUAUUUUUAAAACAAUUUUUUUUAACUUUAAAAUAUAUAUUUAACAAAUUUUUAUUAAAAAAAAUUCUAAGAUUUGUUGUAAAAUUAGGUUAUUUCUUCAAAUAAAAGUGAGUCAUGUGGUUUUGAAAGUAUAUGAGAAAUAAUUAAAAAUUCAAACAAUAUUUUAAAAUUUUCAUAUUUUUAAAAUAUUUGAUUUCUAAAAAAAAAAGCCCUGAAAAAUCUGAAAUAAUUGUUUUUAAACCAUUUUCAAAACAUGUGUUUUGACAAUUGUUUUUGAAAACAUUGUUACAUACACACUACUAUAUAUAUAUAAUCCUAUAUUUUGCUUUCAAUUUGACCGUUGUCUCAAAUGAACCAUGGUGGCAAGAGGAGGAAAAAAUUACCUCCUGUUCAAUCAAUAUAAAAGAUUUGGAUAUAAAAUAAUUCUCCCUUUUUCUAAUUAUAAUUAUAGUUUUUUUUUGUAUGGCAUUCAAUUAAUGUGUAUGAUAUAAAUAACCAAAUAUAUAUAUGAUUAAUUAAUAGGCAUCUGGUACUGGUUUUGCAUAGUCCCGAAAUGUUUUAGGAUUUAAUUUUUAUUUUGUCAAUUCAAAGAAUUUAUUAUGACUAAAAUUAGGAUGAUGGGAGGGUGGGGAAGAUGAUAAAAUAAGAGUAAAACAAUAAAUACAAUCCUUGUUAAGAAAACAAGGAAGUGACGUGUCAUAUUGAUAAAAGAUUUUGUUUUAGAAUUAAAGGGUGGGAUACAAAUCUCAAGGUUUUCUAGUUCUAAAAGUUGUCUACUUCCUUCAAAUUUAUUCUAAACAAUUAAUAUUUUAAAUUGCCUAGCAGCCUAGCACCAUUAUCUCACUAACGGAUAUGGACUGAAAAGAACCCUUCUUCUUUUUUUCCGUUUGGAUUUCAAAGCAUCUCCAACUUUAAUAAUAAUUUAUAAUGAGAAAUACAUAAAUGCUUGCCCUUUAUUUUGAUUUUUUUAAAAUAAGGCUGUGUCUAUCAUUCAUAAAUGCAACCAUAUGGCCAAUUAAUCAGGAGUAAGUCAUCAGACAUCAAUUCUGGCAUUGGCUAAUUCUCCAUGGAUCACAUAACGAAAGGUUGAGCUCUGUGGUAGCCAAUGGAUGCACUUGUGAGGCCUUCCCUUCAUGCAUCUUUCCAUUUCCUUGUGUUGAGCUUCUGACACACACCCGGUCACCACCUCCAAAAGCUUGUGCAUACUCAGUGACGUAUCUUUUGCAAAGUAGGAUAGAAUCUUUGGCAGGAAAAUCUUUGUUCCCUUGUCAACAUAGGCACUGGCUUCAAUAAACUCCUGUUUAGCAAGCUUGAGAUUCUGGAAUACAUUUUGUGCUGUAUAGAGACGAACCUGCAUUCAAUAAUUUGGGCCCCAAACCAGAUCAUGCAAAGAGCAAAACCAAGGGUAACUUCAAAAUAAGGUUCGUGGGAAGGUGAAUUCAUGAGAGACGUCGGAUUCAUACCACAGGGUCGGAGUAUGUCCCUGAACAAAGGGCAAAAUGAACAAGCGGUUCUGGGUAUUCAAUGGCGUAUAUAUGUUUGCUGUUCCCCAUCCUGGACUUAUUUCCUGGAGAAAGCAGUGUUUGUAGCCACUGCAUUCAUGUUGUGUCAAGAAAAGGAAAUUUGAAGACAAGUAUGAUAGCGAUGAUACGAUAUAUGUCUUAAGUUGAACCCGCAUCAAGAUUCAUGGGAUUUUUGCAUUUUCAAGCUUCUAGCCUUCUACUACUAUAAUGUCCAUCCUAAACUUGAUCCCCCGCGCGACCAUGUGUUAAUUAUCCUCAAAUUAUGAUUAGUCAGCACUCUAAAAUCUGUGUUUUUCUGCCCCUCUGCUGGAACAUUAAACUACUGAUUGAAUCCUACUUUACAAGGUUUAAUUUACCAGAUCCAUAUGUUCUGAUAAUAUUACCCAGCACAUGGUCCCGGGUGCUUCCAGAUGGCAGGUCAGAGCAAUCUGGUCAUCACCUAGCCUAAACAGGAUUCGUUCUAUAGUUUUUUUGCUAGCCACUAGACCCUCCUUCAUGUAGUGUCACAAGCCCAACCGCAACUAGCCUGCUGGUUCCAGCUCAUAACCAUGGUGCCCAGGAAGGCUCUACAAUUCAAUCUGGGCUUGCAAUCUACCUGCAAUCCUGGCUUGCCCUAACCCACACAAGCCUUUAAAUGUGCCAAAUUACACCAUUUGGAGGGAUCCUCAGUCGAGCCACAUCUUGGGUUUUGGCCCUCCUGAAACUUCCUCCUCUAUGGCAUAUAAGACGAUCUUAGUUUUACAAUGUAAGUGAUAUAAGCAUCAAUGUACUCAUUGAGCACAAUCUUGUAAGCAUACAUUCAUAUAUGCACACAAGUAAAUACAUGUGGGAUUUCAGGGAAGAACGCAUACCGGUGCUGGCCUGUGUGACCGAAUCCCUAAAAUGGAGCUUUGUAUGUCAUAAGCAUUUACACAAUGUCCCCCGACAUUGUAAGCUGCCUAAAGAGAUGAAAGUCUGAUCAAUAUAGUCACUUUUUCUGAAGAGAAACCCAAUAUGGAUAACAUUAACAAGAUAUUAGCACUAACACACAAGUUUUUACCUUUAAAAUAGAUGUGCCUUUUACACAAUUACGGAUUCCAUAAGCUAAAUACGCCUGCAAAGGAAAGCUCAUAAUCUCGUGAGUGUUUAUGACAAGAAAGGUUUGUUCUAAUCCUGUCUAUGAAAUACUUCAUACAGUUUUUCACUGAAAGCUAAAGAGAAAAAUUAAAGCUUUGAAAAGCCUACAUGCAUCACCAAGGCAUUAUGGAUGUUGAUCCAAAAUGCUAGUUUUCCUUCACGCUUCAUCUUCCUUGGGUUAACCUUCGCAAGAUUUUGAACCAAUGACCUACACAAUUUAAAUUACUAAAUAUGAGGAGUUUUUUAAAGAUUCCAUAACUCUUGACAUUAAAAAUUGUUGGAAGUUUGAGCCUGUUCUCUUUUUGACCCUUGUCCUGAAUCUUAUCCGUUUUAAUAGGAACCCGUUACGACAACUGACUCUGAAAUUCCAACAACUUUGGAUUGGUAAACCUAACACUGGUGGGAAGGGAUUAAAACAGGGAAACUGAUUUCGUUAAAUCUGUUUAAAUGUGCUAGAAAAUGCCAUCCAACUAUGUGAGAGUAAGGUGCAGGUUGGGUACCUGAAAUUUUGCAGCAUGCUAGCAGCAUAGUUGAAACUAUCAUCAUCUAGGCAUAACUUCAUUACUUCUACCAUUGCAGCAUAUGGUGCAUUUUCCUCCUUCAAACCUUGAAAUCGAUGGUGCCCUGUAGCUCCCUCAUUGCAAUGUGGACUCCAAGUAUCAAAGAGAUUCUGGACAGAGAAUGUACUUGUGGAGGACAAGGACGAGGUAGAAGAAACUGAAAAGCCCGCACUACUUGAAUGGGGGUUGGCAAGUUUGCAGUAGAUAGAAGAUAUGCAUUGGACAAUGUCUUCAGAAAGUUUAUCUGGUGUAUGGAGUGUGUGAUCAAUGUGGGAAGCACCAAAAUACUCUCCGAGGCUGUGAUGACCAAGAUCACCAUUCUUUCCAUCCUGCAAAUGCUCGUCAUAGACAUUUUUUUAUGUAGUUUUAUAAAGUUAUGCUGGACUAAAAACAAGCCAGCUGCACAAAAUGCAUCUAGCUGAUGAGGCAUAUUUUACCCUUCUAGAUUUUACUUUUGAAGUUGCUGCAUAAUUCCAAUCAUCUGAAUCAGCCCAACCAUGUGUGGAAGAAGUUCCACUAUGGACCACACCACCUCUCCACAUUUCAGGCUCUAUUUUGUAAGAUGGUUGACUUUGUAAAACUUGCAACGGUGAUCCCGCCUUAUGUUGUAAAUGCUCAGAAUUUCCUGGAAAUGUGGGUAGAUGCUGCUCAAAAGCUGAACGAUAGAGUGAAAGAAGAUAUCGCUCCAAAUGCAUAAUUUCAACCUCAAGUGUGGCAAUCUCAUCAAUCAGCUGGGCAGGAGACUGCAUCCACAGCCCACCCAAGGGUUAGAAGUUACAGAUCCAAAAAUAAAGCUACAACACAAUAUUACAAAAAGAACAACAGACAGAGCCUUUCAUAUGUAAAUAGUAUUAUAAGUACAAGGCUUGCUCAUUCAUCAGUGAGUUCAUCACAAAUCAGUCCAUUGUCUCUUGGUGUCAUCAAUCUCGACCACACAACAAAAAUCACAAAGGGAAGCAACAUUGUAGUAUGAUAAUUUAAGUUAAAUUAAUAGUAAAUAUUUCAUUUUGAAAAUUAAGAACACCUCAACUGUUACAGAUUAACAUUGAAUUGUACAAGAUAAAGUUGGAUUCACCUUUUUUUUUUAUCAACUCCUAUGAAUCUUAAGCACCAGACUGGUACUUUCAAAUACUUGGAUGAGUUUUUGUGGGCAUUCAGAUCAAAAUUUUGCGUAACCCCUUAACUAAAGAGUAGUCCUGGUGAAGCAGAUUCACAUCCAGCUGUAGCUGAAGAGGACGAUGCCUAAACGCUCUGAAGAGACCUUUUCAACAGUGAGUCAUUGAUACAAGUACCCAUUUCAUAGAUAGUGGCAGGAGUGUCACACCAACCUACAAUUCUAAACUAUUGAUAAGAUCUCUUGCUGGAUCUAGUUUUCAUCCAAAAAGUCAGGUGCUUAGGUAGAAUUUGAAGAACAUCCUAAGUUUCAGUGCAUUUGAUGGGAGCGGAAAUCCACUGGAAUGUCCUGCUAUUUUGAGGGCAUGUACUUCGGAGACCGGAUCAAACCAACAAUUGCAGGCUUCCUACUCUCACUGAAAAUUAAUUAUGUAAUUUUCCAGAUUACAGACAACAGUUCAAUGAUAAAACCAAAGCGACCGUAUGGAUCCAAGCAGUAAAAAGUAAGAUAGACUCAUUCAAUGCUUUGAGUCAUGAUAUCGAUCUAAAUUUAGUAUUUCAUCAAGAUAGGUCAGACAAUUGCAGCAAAAUAUGCACAUGCCUACAUAAAAAGUUUGACUAAGCUUUUAUUAUCCUUAUUUUGUAAAUGAUUGGAAAUUGUUGGUUUUCUCCAAUAUACAAACCUUUGGUGUUGGAGCUCCAUUUGAAGGAAUGGAUGCAUUGGAGAGAGAAGAAGGAGCCUUCUUAGAAUCCCAACAUAGUGAAGACUGGAGAGAUAGUGUUCUCUCCAAUUGUCCAAUCUGUGUCAAGAGAAGCAGAGGAUAACUAAGUAAGAGAAUGUAGCAACCUUUUAUCUCUUAGUAGAAAUAAUUGUAAAUGUCUUCGAGAUGAAAGGAGAACGUGUUCUAAAAAUGAUUUCCAGUUUCAUCAAUGUCUCCACAAGCAAAUGGACAAGCCUAGAGGCACAAACUCAGACUGGAGCUAGAAGCAAGAAAAAAGUUAUAUUUUUCACUAUUCAAUUCUUCCAUGUAGUUAAACAAAAUAUUUUUUUCCAUUAUUACUUUGGAACAACAGCUCAUCUGAAUCAAUUUCCCUACAAAUUUUCUGCGGACUCAGGCAACAAAUGUGAGUUUGAAGAGUCAUUUCAUAUCACCAGAUCAUAAGUAUUGAGUCGUUAAUCUUGAAAGAAACCCUGUUCAAUUCAACAGAAAUUCUGAAUAGUUGGUCAUUUGAACAAAUUUGUAAAAGAAGCUCGGCCAUGGUCUGCAACUUUGACCAAUAACAUUACGUUUUUCAGCUAAAACUUGGUCAAGAUUGUAAAGAAUGUUGAAAAUUUAGCUGUCCAAGGUUGCGCAGCAUAGAUUUGACUACUUGGACAUAGUAUUUGGAUCAAAAAAGGAAGUUGCUGGUGAAUUUGCAAAUUGAAACCAUGCAGAAAUGAAGUAGUUGUGACAAAGGGCAAUCUCACUAUCUCACCCUUAAACAUGGUGUGAACCCUUAAUGUUGCUAUGUAGGCACGUAACUCUAAGAAUAUUUCAAAAAGUUUCCAAGAUAUGAGAACAAGAAGACAAGGACAAGCAGCCUAAUUUCUGGAAAAGGGGCCUCCUGGAAUAUAUUUGGAGGGUCAUGGAAAUUGAUAACAUCUAAUAAUUUCCUUAAGACAAGAUCCACAACACAUGGAAACCAGCUAUUUCCUAGAAAGAGGCUUCUCAGAACAUAUCUAGAAACACAAAAACAAAGGAAAAAAACGAAAACAGAACCAAAAGGCCACUUGCAUUCAUUUUUUAAGGGUUGUAGAAUCAGAUGUGAGCAAAACACGAAUGUUGUAUUGGAUCUAGGUUUACCUAAUAUCAAACUCGAAAACAUAUCCAAUGCUGGAAUAAAGAGGCUGAAACUUGAUUUCCCAAACUAGGGUAAAAAAAAUAGAAUAGGGAAACAAUAACUGAAUGGGCAAACUCAUUUUCAAUUGGAAAUAACCAAGUUGGAAUACUUACGGAAGUGAAGUGGUAAGGGGUUGUCGGUGACAUGUUUAGCAUAUGCUGAUGAUGGCACUGCAAAACCCAGUAAGGAAUAGAGGAAGGAGAUGAUGAUGGCAAACCACACCCAGCAUUAUUUGUCCGUAUUCUGAAACCUGCUACAAAUUUGACAUAUAUCACCCUUCAGAGUUCACUUCCUAUUACAACAGAAAAGAACAAGUAAUCAAAGAGAGACUGAGAACACAGCCUCACAGCUCUGGUUUGAAUGCGAAAAGCUUCCACCUGAAUUAUAAACAAGCUGCAACUUUAUCUGUAUCUCUCCGAGUCAUUGUUGAAACAGGGAUUCUACUUGUUAACAUGACAACAUUGCUAUGUACAUGAAUGGAUUAGUACAACAAAACCACCCUAACAAAAGAUGGAGCGGAUAUGAGGAAGGGCUGAAACCCCCAUUAAAAUUGAUAAUCAUGACGCAUGCACUGUUACAGCCUGCAAUUUCAUUAUUAAAACAGAGCAAAUAUAAAUAUAUGCAUAUGGUUAGGUGGAGGGAAAGUAACUGAAACACUAGUGCUAAUCACUUAGACACUUGCCCUGGGAAGCAGGUAUCCCACUUCCGCCUACCCCAUUUUUCUAAACAUUUUCAACGCCCUCACAGACCUCCCACAGCAACAGCAACAGGCGUUUAAAUCUAAUACAGCAAUGGUGAAAGAACAAAGACCUUUUAUUAAUAAUGUGAUCUCUCUGUAUAAUCAUACCAACGUGAGUCUAUCAUUCGUGUAAUCUAGUGUUAAUACUAGAGGAUUAACUUAUUCACUCGCUAGGUUGGAAGUUUGAACCACUUCCAUUAUUUUCAAUUUUUUUUUUUUUGGAUGGAUAGAAUGAAUGAAGUUGUUGGGAGUCCCAUUCAUGAUUGUCCACAGCUUCACAAGUUAGAAGCCUAUUAAUUAUAGGCGGCCCACCAAGCCAAAACGCAGACAUUCUGCUAGCUAUAACAAAAGUAGGGGUUCCAUCGACCUUGAACCCACCCGUGGCUGUGGCGUCAUUCGUUCUGUUGUGGGAGAGAAAUGUCUUCCACUUUUCUGCUUCCUUUCAAUGUUCUUUGUACUUGAAAUUCAAGUUGGGCUUCAGGCCAGGCAUGUUAAUUCUCAGGCUCAAACCCGACCCAGCAACUAAGGGCUUAGGUUUGGAAACAGUUGAAUAUUUGAUAUAAAAAAAAAAAAAGUCAGGAAAGCGUUAGUAUGGUGGUUGAACAUGGAUUUAAUUGCCAUAUCUAGAGAAGACACGAGGCCUAUUUCACGGAGAGGUGGCGUGGAUCGUCCCUGUUUUUGGGGAUGGGAGUUUAGAAGACAAACCAGCUGAAAUUGAUGAGAAAAAAAGUGGAAUUAGUGUUGGUUUUUAUUAUUACUAUUUAAAUUUCGGGAAACAUCUGAGCAGUUGCCUGUGGCAGACGCCAGCUGCCAACAUCUAUGGAUGGGGGAGUGGGGCAUGCAAUAGGAAAGCAGCCCCAUCAUUUUGUAAGAAGCUGGAGGAGGAAGAGAGACCGAUGAGUGGUCUUCCAUCAAACUCUACUCCAAAAUCAGAGGACCACUUAUCACAGCCCACAUGGGGGGUUGAUGCCCCUCAAAUAAAUUGCCCGUAUACUAAAGUAAAUUGCAUUGUGUGAUGAAUGAAAAUGAAAUGAUCAUAGCAAGGUUAGUUGAUUGUUGGGUGAAGAAGGGAAAGGCAAAGGCAAAGGAGGAGGCAGAGGAGACGUCAGACGUGAAAGGGGGGAAUGGGGUUGAUGGCAGUGGAGCCCCUGUGUUGGUAAAUAGGCUACUCGUGUGCAUGUCCAUAUCUAUCCAUCUUAUCUACCUUUAUUCAAAAGGAGAGCAGUUUUUAAGCUACACAAAAGUAAUAGCUCUCUUCUGCAGGGGACACAACGGAAAGCAACCACGCCUCGCUGGAACUCACCAUCUCCCCCUUCCCUCUUCCCAUUAUCUCCUAAAUCCUAAUUACAAAAUACCCAGUCAACAGUCAAUCACAUGACAAUGGCCUCUUAUGUUAAGUUGUUCUAUUUACCAUAGUCUACUACCGCUGCCACUGAGUUAGUGAUACAUAUUCCUCUUAUCAUAAAUUUCUGGUUGGAUGUCAUAGAAUCUUGCCCACCCAAUAGCACAUUCCCCCGCCCUUUACUUUAUUGAUUCAUGAAGAAUGUGAGUUGAAUUCCAUGUCAGCAGUGAAGUCAAUUUAGUAGAUGAGAAAGAGAAAAAGAAAAUUAGAGAAUGUGGUGGACAUCUAAUAAAUGUGUAUAUAUAUGGAUGUGGGGUUGGCAACAUCACUGUGCCACUAAACAUCAAAAGAGCAGUCAGCCCUUGGCCUGAUACAUCGUUGUUGAUGGAUAAGCUUAAGCUAGGCUAAGCUUCCAAUAACCAUGCCAUUUUGGAAAAUCAGCUGAUCGUGCCGGUAAACAAAUUAAGGUAUGCCAAUGGUGCAUAGAUAGGAAGGCUAGCUCCCAAUUUACACCCCUGGGUUCUACUUACUGUGAUAUGCAGGGAUCAUAUGUAUGAUCUCCCCCAAGUACAAUGUAGCAUGACAACUGAAACAAGUGCAGUGGAAACAAAAGAAAAAUCUAUUUGUCUCCUAGCCAGUCGUGUAUCCACCACUUUUGCAAAGGAGUGGCCCGGCGUUCACAACCAGUACUAAUCUAUGUAAUAGCGCAUCCGUGUAUCAUUUGUGCUGGGGAAGCUGACCUCCCAAACUUAUCCUUGAAAAUACACAUAAUUAAGAACAAUCAGUGCAUAAAAACUGAAGGAAAAUAAAGAUGUAGUAGGCUUCUUAUUGUUACGAUAAACCUUUUGAUACAAAUUGGUUCCAAAUUUCUAGUUGUAGAGUUAGAACUUUGUUAGAUUAGCAAAAUUCUAAAUAUUAAGACAUGUUUGGUCCCCUUUGUGCGGUGAUUGUGUAACCACAAGCUGCUUAUAUGUCUUGCUAGUUAGCAUAGUGUCAUAUAUUGGCGGAAGACACAAUGAUUCCAUUAACCCCAGCAGGGGACAGGUCUGAGUCUUUACUCUUUGUUCCAUCCUUCAUGUCUGUUUAACUGUGAGAGAUGGAAAUGCAAGUUUUGAUUUCAAUCUCCCACUUGAGAAUGGCGAUUCAAUGAAUAAUUGCAGUGGCCAAGGGACAAAUAAUAGAAAGAUUUGGGAGAUGAAAUAUAGAAAACCAUAUAUAUAAUAAUUGCAUUUGUUUUGAGAAGUAGAUCUGACGGAAACUAGAGGAGAUAUAAAUAUAUGUAUAUGAUACAAACAGGCAUUCUAAAGAAGGGAUGGAUGGGGUCCCAGUCCCACAUAUUCCGGCAUAAUCGUCACCACCUAAUGUGUGUAUCAUGAUCUUAGAAGAAAUAUACUGAGCUCCUGUCCGGAGCUGCCCACCGGGUUAAUCAUGUGAAACGACUCAGAGUCUGGGGACCCAAUGACUCGCUCAAAACUGGCUCGUAGAUACAGGAGGUCGCCGUCGUCGGACUUGGGUGCAACCGGCAAAACUCCGGCACCAACAGACACAGACUGCAUAAGCUUCAACACAUUGACGUCGCUGACAGUCAUCUGACGCCUGACGGCGAACCCAACCUUCCUGCCGUUGCAAUACAUGGACCAAACCGGGACGUUAAAGAGGGAGCAGCAGUUGGAGGCUUGCUUCUGCCUGUCACACUCGAGUGCAAUCCGAAGCAGACCGUAUUGCAUCUCCCUGGCAAGGUAUGCGGUGGGAACGGCGAAUUCCAGCAGCAGUAGCGGUGUGCUGCGUGUGUCAUCUUGUAGGCAGAAGCUGACUCGCCCCUUCCGGUAACCAAAGAAGGUGCCAGUCACAGUGGAGGCGUGGGUGGACUCAGUAUCACUGGAGAUGGAGUCAGAUGGUUGGAAGCCACAACAUGGGACCAUGCACUCCACAAGGGACCUGAAGGAUCUUCUGAACCUCACUUCCCUCCCACACUCUACUGAGGUGGGUGUGUCCAUAAUAUGGAGGGGACCUCUUUGGUUUCCCAAGUCUAUCAUCCUCAUCUUGCCUCCUGGUCUGAAUAAAAUAAAACAAGCCCUAGCUAGUUAUCCAACAAAACCAAGACAGACAAUAGAGAGAGAGAGGUUGUAUGUAGGAGAAGGAUGUAGGUAGGUGUUUAGAAAUAGCUAGUUGAGCACAUAUAUAUAGAGAGAGAGGUGGGAGGAGGAGGAAAGGCAGUGUGGAAGGGAGUGCAAAGGGGGAGUGAGUCAUCGUAAUGAAAGUGGGGCGAGGAAUCGUGCGCAAUAAUUCUGCCCACGAGGCUGUGGGGGUCCAAUUUUGGAGGGACUUGGGUGGCGCGCGUGACAGCAAAGGUUUUGUGAUCAGACCUCUGGCCCGUGGGCUGUUGUGGGUGGGAGAUGACCAAAUGGGACUUUCUACGUUUUCACUCCCCCCCUUCCCUAUUCCUGCUGCCUUCUUAUUGGACACUUCCUCUUAUUUUUAUGCAUUUUGUAUAUCCAACCUCGCCCCCUUCACUCUCUUCAAAAACUUUACAAAGUUUUUUUCUUAUUUUCAACUCAAUUUUGAAUAUGAGGAUUUUUGACAAAAUACCAUUUUUUUUUAAUAUUUAUUAAAAUAUGACACUUUUGAAACCCUUUUUAAAUUUAUCUCAUUUUUUAUAAUGUUAAUUGAAAAUUGACUCUUUAAAAGACAAUUUUCAAUUAAAUUUCUUUAAAAUGACGUAAAUUUAGAAGUAAUUUUUAAAUUAGCAUAUAUUUUUUUUCAAAUUUUGUAAAGUAAUAACAAGGAUGUCUUAUUUGUCAAAUUUUCCAUUUUCACCUACCAAAAAACCGUGAUAUGUCUUAUAUAAAGUAACCAAGAGGAUGAUUAACUUAUGAUAUAUAUGUAUAUGAUGGUAUAAUUCAUACCAACAUUUCAUAAUUUUGGUAAAAGGGAGAAUGCCAAAAGUUUUUCAAACAUAUCUUUUAAGCUAAAAACUAUUUUCUAAAUUAGAAAAUUGUUUCCAAUUCUAGAAGUUCAAAUAAAACAUAACUUCCUUUUCCUUGAUUAGUAUAAUAAUUCAUAUAAUAAUUGAUGAUAAGAAGGAAAGGAGCAAAUUUGGACAAGCUUACACAAACUUUAUGAUUAUACCCAAAAAAGAGUAUCUUACAUAUACCCAGAAAAAGUACCUUUUUUGCAUCCAAUUUGACUCAAGGAUUUUAUGAUUUCCCUUCAUAAUUUUGGUUACUUUCAAUCCUUUAAUUUCACCCCAAUUUUACCCAUGGUUAUAAAUUGAAAUAUCUUCUCCUCUCAGACACAUAUGUUGCUUCUUUGACAAACAAAAUAACAAUUGCUUUUUGUUUUUGACAAGGAAUGAAUAUUGUGUUGAUGAUACAUUUUUAAGAAUAUUUCUUCAAAAUAAAUAUUUAUAGAAAGCUUCAAAUGAUUUUAAUACCAAUUUUAAAAAAUUAUGAACUCCAUAACAAUUUAAAACAAUCGUAUUAAUCAGUUUGUAUGUGGAGAGAAUUGAGUCACCUCACCUCAAGAUCCAUGCAAUGCUAUUGGGAAAGUAGUGAAGAGAGAAUCUCAAAAUAUCUCAAAGGGCAUCCUGUUGAUAUCCUUUGAGAGAAGAGGAUCUAUCAUCUAUCAUCUGUCUCAUUAUCCAAACUCCAAGUUUAAGCAAUAAAAUGCAAAAAAAAAAAAAAAAAAAACCCAUGAUGAAAUCCAAGGAUACUGAUAAGGACAUAGAAUAAAAAGGAAAAAAUAAACCCAAGGGAAAGAAAAAGUAGAGUGGAAAUUAAAUGGGUGGGAGAGGGAAUGAUAGAUAUCAAAUGCAUGGAGCAUGAGCAUGCACGAGGCAAUGAUUCCACCCUAUCAAUCCUGUCUGUCCGGCCCAAAGACUUAUGGCGCUCAAUCAUGUUAGAUUCUCCAAUUUCCAUAGUCAAAACUUUUGUCUUCCCACUUCAGAUAUCAACAAAAUACGCUACUCACCUUUAUUUGAUUUUACUCCUAUACAACACACAUUAAUCGAGCUGGUUAAGUAACACAUUAAAAGCGCCUUUACACUAAUUGCUUUUACUUUUUACCACGUAUGAAGAUUCCAAACAAGAAGAAAAAGAACUACGAAGAAUGUGUGCUAUAUUCUGAUGAGAUGAAUUAGCAUUCUUACAUAUUUAAAGUCGUGGGAUGAGGUACUACUCAUGUGUUUUUUAAAAAACAAAAAGUGGAUUUUUUUAUUAUUAUUAUUUAAAAAUAGUACUUAAAUAUAUAUAUAUAUAUAUUAAGGAAAAAAAACCUUUUUAAAACGCUUUUAUAGAAUGCUAAAAUCUUCUAUUUGUUCAAUUAUUAUUUAACAUAUUUUGAAAAUUUAAAAAUGAUUUAUCAAAAGAUGAGUCUACGAAUAGGUCCAAGUGUUGUUGAUAGACAUCAUCCCUGCCUCAUUUCUGUGGGAUUAAUUGCAUAUGGACGUAGGUUGAGUUGAUGGUCGAUCAAAGCAAAAAAAUUAAAAAACAGUUGAGAGUGUCCAAGGAGAGGCCGGCACGGGGAAAGGAAUAAAAGAGGAGAGAGAGGAAAACAUGCAACAAAUAUAACAAAGAGGGUAUCCAUCCUUCAAAUCAUGUCAAAAGCUGAUCCCAGUCCCCACUUCAGUGAUUAAUAGAACUAGGUUUUUGCACGCUUCAUUGCUUUUUCUCCCACCCUUUUUUAUUCUCAACCCCUUAUCGAUCAUUCAAUAAUUCAUGCCCCCCCCCCCUCUCUCUCUCUCUCUCUCUCUCCCCCAAUACCCACCUCCACCACCACCGCCACCUCCACAACCCUUCUCUCUUUGUUAUUUUCAAUUUUUAUUUCAUUUUCAGUUUGGACCAUGGACCAACAAACGUGCUUUCUCUUCCGGAAAGACCAUUCUCUCCUCGUGUGUCGACUGAUUCCAUGAAGAAAACAAAAUAUGAGGAUCUCCACAUCCACUUUUUCUUUACAUAAAGCAAGUCUGCCCUUUGGUUUUUAAUAAUGGGUCACAAUCAUGUCGUGGCCCAAUUGAAGCUUGUCUGUGCCCGCUAUGAGCGCAUGACAGGAACACCUUGAUGGGGGUAUUAGGUUAAGUCAUUAUGAUAGUUUGUAUUGGUAUGAUAGAUUUUUCAGAAACAAAACCCCAAACAAGGAAUCCAUCAGCUUUGAUACUCACGUUCUUCCCUCCAUCAUUAGGAUUAGGAUUUCUAUUUCUAUUUCUUAAAUCACCAAAUGCCUCUCUCUCUCUCUCUCUCUCUCUCUCUCUCAGGGUAUCUUGGUUUUUUUUUUUUAAUCCCCUCUUUCUCUUGUAUAUGAUUAAGAGCAAAUUUAGGUGCUUGUCUCCAUGAUUAGUGGGGGCUCCACUCACCCUUUUGGUUUUUUGAUGCCUAUGUGCUUUCUUUCUUAAUUAUAAUCACUUUAUCUAAAUGGGUGUUGUGGAUAUGCAUUGAUGCUUCAAUCCUUUGGGAGGUUGAAGGGUCCAAAUUUCUUGUCCCUCAUCACCACAGCAAUUGGCCAAUCGGCCAAUUCCCCAUGCAUGUAGCAUCAAAUUUGGCCAAUGAACGUCCGCAAUACAUCAAUGUGAAAUGGGUAGAGAUUGACAUAAUUUGUACUGAAGGGUUACAAAAAUGUUACAUCAAAUUAAUAUAUAAAAUAAUAAUAUCAUGAUACAAAUAAUGAUAUGAAAAGUAUUAAAAAUAAUACCAUAAAUGACCUCACAUGAAUGAUUGGAUAUCCCAUUACAAUCUACCAUACUCAAUUAAUGCUUAUGACAACAACAUUAUUAUUUCCUCUUUUUUUUUCUUGUUGUUUGAAGUGAUAAAGUUAGUUGCUUGAUUUGGAAGGCCACUCAAAUGAUAACGUCCUGGAAAACUAUCAAGAUUACUUUUCCCCUUUACUUGUAGCAAUUAGAAAAUAUAUAUAUAUAUUGAAAACAAAGACAAAUAAACUUAGAUGUUGACUCAGUAACGCAUAUUUGCAUCAUUAAGUGGUAGAAAAAAUAUAUAUGUACAAAAAUAAACAAUAAAUGGUAUGAAAAGUUAUUUUGAUUACCAUUUUCCCCAUCACAUAAGUUCUCUUCCACCCACAAUUAUCAAUAAGAGCAUUAUUACAACCCUUUCUGUUAACAAGUCUCAUUAUUUAAUGUUUUAUUCACUUUUUAUUUUUUUAAAUACUAAGAAUGCCGUAUAAUCAAAAAAUAAAAAAAUUAUUUUAAAAUUUUUUAUAAUAUUAUUUGACCUUUGUUUUUUAUCUUUAGUUUUUAAAAAAUAAAGUGAAGUAAAGAAUUUUCUUUCUUUUAUAAAAAAAAAGUAGAAAUUGUUUUGGCUUUUAAAAACAAAAAGAAAAUAUAAAUAAAUUUAAAAAAAAUUAUAAAUAAAUAAAUAAAUUUAAACAUGAUAUCGUUCUUUUUCUUUUUCCAUGUAUACUAAUACAAAAAAAAUCUUCAAAUAUGGCUUCUCUUUAAAUUGCAUGUAUUUUUUUGAAUUUAUGUUCACUUCUCUAAAAAAAUUUAUUAAACAAAACAAUUCUAGAACACAUAAUAUUUAAUAUAUAAAGUUUAUUAAUUUUUAACAAUAUUUUAAAAUUUAAAAAUCAAUUUAAUUAAUAUUAGAAAAUUAUGAAACUUAAUAACAUUACAAAGUCAUGAACUAAAAUUAUUGACUAGAAUUUAUUAUGAAUGACUGACUACUUCUUCAUUAAAUAUAUAAUUAAACUUCAAAUAAGAUAAGGAUUAAUAUGUUGGAUGUUGGAUGGUCUAAUUAAUAUAAAAAAAUCGAUUGACAAAAAUGGAUUUAGAACUACUCUAUUGUUUUUAUUUAUUUAUUUUUAUAGAGAAUUAUAUUUUUCUUAUUUUUUUUUAUUAGACAUAUAAAUUCCAAAUUAAACAAGAAUUAAUACAUAGAAUUUGUUAGCAAGUAUGAUAAUUUUUAAAAGUAAUUAAAACUCAAGUAGUAAACCCAUUAAUACCAUCAAUUUAUAGGUAAAUUUUGGUUUAUAAUAACAAUAUUAUUUAAUUUUUACAAAUAAUUAUAUUUUUAUUAGAUAAAUAAGUUUCAAAUCAAGGAAUUUAGUAAUGAGUUAAACCAUAUUUAGAGUAUUUUAAAUAGGAAUUGAGAAUUGGUUAUAAAAAAAGGAUGAGCAAAUGGCAAUUUGGAAAAAACGCACAAGUUGAAACAUUGGGUCAUUUUAUUUUAUUUUAUGAUAUCAAAAAGUGGUGGUUAAUUAAAAACCACGAUUGCAUUUGCUUAUAAUAAAGUUCUUUUGUGCCUUGUACCUCUCCUCUGUCACACUUUCUGUUCUUUGGACAAUUUAUUAGAACUGGAGUUUGAUAUGAUACGUAUUCAAUAUCACGGCAUUUUCUUGAAAAAUUAUUAGAAUUUCCUUAUAAUCACAUCCUUCAAAAUGAAAGCACAUCGUAAACUCGGCCCAGUUCUGGCCUGCUGUAUGGCCUAAUCACAAGUAGAGGGCGGUCCAAUGGGCUUCAAAACAUACUGGAUUCAAGUAUACAGCAGAUGGCAGCGGCCUCGUUCGACAGGCCGCAGCUAGUGGGCCAUCUUUGCGAUGUGCCGGAGGUCGGUCGACCAAGCAACCCAAUUUGACCUAACAUCUGACCGUAAUCUAGAAGAACUGAGUGGUGGACGGCAGACACGGUGGCACACAAGAUAGAGAAACGUGUCAAUGAUUUUAUAGGAUUUGCCUUCAAAAUCAAACACAUGAUCCAAAUCCGCGGUUCCUUAGAUUUUCAUUUUCUGCGCAUUCCCAUUAGGUUUGGAGGCCUGAAUUUUCCAUUGCCUUUUGCAUGUACAGACUGUAUUCAUAGUUUAUGUCCAAAAAUAAAUAAGAAAAAGAAUAAGAAUUUCGAUAUAAAUUAAUCAGCAAAAUAGGAAAGGAAAGAAUAAUGAGUAAAGUAAUUUACAAGAAAAAUCCAUUUCAUUUAGGAUAUGGUUGGAUGGAUGCAAGACUGAAAAAUCCCAUCUCAAAUCAGUAAUACUAAUAUCCAGCAAUAUACAUAAAGGAAGAAAUAAAACAAAAUAAUGAUAAAAAUUAAAAAUUGAUCCACCAUGUUUGGAGUUUGGAGGGGAGCGGAUUAUGGAGUGUAAUCUAGAGGACGGAGCCUUCGUAAAUGGUGGUUAACCUGAGUCUGAAGGAGCGAACCGCCAUGCGAGCUCGUCGGGAUGAGUGUCUCUGCAGUUUUCUCAAAGACCCAUGCCUGGAAACGCCAAGAGCAGGCUUCUCAAAACUCUUUUUCACUCCCCCAACCUCCGCCUCCAUUACUUUUUGGUUCACUUCCAGAACUGGAGAAAUCCGGGACUUGUUAUUGCGGCGAUGCCCAGCCUUUUUGGAGUGAUUUUGGAGGGCAAUGCUGGCCUUGACGGCCAAGGCGGCCAUCUCGGAGGCAGUGAGGCGGUACUGAAGCUUGGUGGCGGAGAGUAGGAAGUAGAUCUGACCAGGCAGAAGUUCAUCGUCGGCAUUCAUGGCUGGGAUGUAGUCGUCGUAGUACAAGCUGUCGGAGUUGCAGACAAAGCAGGAAGAAGAAGACGACUCAAAGUGAAGAACUUGGGAGACGGUAACGGGAGCGGAAUAUUCACGUAGCUCUCCAUGAAGUGAAAUGAGUUUAGCAGUAGCGGUGGAGGUAGAAUUAGAAUAAGAUCCAACAGAAGAUACACAUCCACCCAUGUCCGUGUGUCCGUUCGUGAAUGAAGAGAAAUCUGAAAUGAAAUUGGAGUUGGGAUUGAUAUUUGGGGGUGGUGGGGGAGUGAAUGGUUAAUUUAAGGGAGAGGAAAUUGGAAGUGAGGAAGAAAAAGCCUGGGGGGUGGUGGGAAAUGAGAAGAGUUUGGGGGCUUUGGAGUGACGUAAGAGAGGUCGUCACUGGGGAAUUCCGUUGAGACAAAUCAGUUUGAAACAGGGAGUCAGUAGUCGGGAGCAGAAGGCUGGAGCUGACUCCCAAGCCAACAAGACUUGGUUUGGUUUUAUUAUGGAAUUAAUGCGACGAUGACGCGUGUGCUGAUUUCAGAUUUCUACGGUGCUACCUCUCCCCCAAGGAAGCUUGCUUGCACCGCAAGCAAUCCCCUCCCCCGUGGGCCCUAGCCUGUAACCCAUGUACCGUGACCGUACCCUCUCGCCCCGGGGACCCACUUUGUAUGGUUUCUUUUUUCUUAAAAAUAAUUGGCUUUAUUUGCUGAGCCUGAGCCGCCCACCCCCAAGGCCCCACAUGGACAGGGUCUAAUAAAUAAAAUUUCAUUUGAAAACUCUUAAAAAAUAGUUUUUUUCUAGUUUAUUCUUUACACAGAUGGUAUACCGUAUACAUAAAAUAUUUUCAAUUAUUUAUUUUUUUAAAAUACUUCAAUUUACUCUAAAAAAUAAUUUAUUUUUAUAAUAGAUUUUAAAAAAUCCAUGUAAAAAAGAGAGUAUAAAAUACAUUUUUUUUUAUGUUAAAAUUUGAUUUUUGUUCUAAAUGAUAUAGAACCGUUUUCAAGAAUAAAAUAAUUAAUAUAAUAUAGUUUUUAUUCUAAAAGAGAUUAACAUUUUGAACAUUGUCACAUCCUUUAUUUUCUUUAAUUUUAUUGAAUUCAUGCACACAUUUAAAAAAUAUCCCUAUAUAUUUCCAAUUUAUUAAGCCUAUAUGCUAGAGAUAAAAAAAAUCAAAACUACAACAUUCUUCAAGUAACUUAAGAUGAAUCUAGAUGACAGUGGACACAAUUUUAGGCGCUUGUGACUCCCCGAUGACUUUGACCAAUGUCCUAGGAAUAGCAUCUUUUUCCAUUGGAUUGCACAGGACUAGGAAGCUUUGGUUUAAAAUAUGAAUAUAAGGAAUAGAAAAAUAUAAAAUGUAACUUGUCUCAUGUGUAAUAUUUUUUGUAUAGUAUAAUGAAAAGAUAUUCUCUUAUUGAUAGAUGUUAGUACGAUUGGUUGAAUCAUAUUAAAAUCUUGUAUAUUAUUAUAUCAAUUAUUUUUAUCUUUAUAUUUUUAAAUUAAUAUUAUUUAUAUUAAAACUUCUAUUAAUACAAUAAAUUAGAAAGUUAUGCAUUUUUUUACUUAUUUAACCUUUGUAAAUAAGAGUUUAAAAGCUUAUAGAAUAACAUAUAAAAUGGUUUACCCAUUUUAAAUAUGUUUUUUAUUUUGCUUUAUUCUUCUUUCAUUUUUUAUUCUUUAUUUUUUAACCUUUUUUAUUUUUUUUGUGAAAAUCAAAAUUUAAGCUAUAUUUGAAAGAUUUGAGAGAAAAUGAGAGAAAAAAAUAAAAAUAUAAUUUAAUUUAAUUCAGACUUACAUAUGAAUAUUUAAAAUUUUGAAAAUAUGUAAAUUUUAAACAUAUUUGAUUUUUUUUUACUAUUUUUAGUAUUAAAGUUAAUAAAAAAUAUUUUUUAAUAUAUAUUUUUUCUUUUUCAAUAUUUUCCUCCAACCAAGCAUUAGCAUUAACAUGUUAUGAUUGGAGGGGAAAAAAGUAAAAGAAAAAACUGUGACACCAUGUUCCUUAUUCCAAGAAAAGCAUAAAUCUAAUGAUCAAAGGGUUGACUGAGAAGGUGGUAGGACUACCCCAGAUAAAGCAUCAUUAGUACUCCAUCCAUGAUUCCAUGCAAGCAAGAGUCCACAAAACGAAAGCCCAAAUGUGGCGACCGUGUAUAAUGAUGGCCCAGGGCCCAUAUUGAGGGUCUUAAUGGUCCAAACAUCCACGUAAGAGAAUUGAGGCUGAAAAAGAGGAGAAAUCAAGAGUCGCCAAGCACUCAAUUCCUUAACGGGGUCCAACCACUGCAACAAUGAGAGGAGCUAUAUAUAUAUAUAUAUGCAUGUCUUUCGUGCAUAGAUGGGGAGAAGUGACAUUAUUAUCAAGUCAUAAUAUAGUAGUUGGGACUUGGGAGAAGUAGCAAGCGGGAUAUUGGUUAGGAACUUUUCACUUUUCUCAAAUCACAGCUUAAUAGUUAGAAGUUAGAAAAUAGAACCCAUGUCCCAACUCAUCUUCUUGGUUGUGCCCAUCAAAUGGGCUCAAAUCAUAUCUCAGUUGCCCAGCUUUUCAUCUUCAUACUUUGAUGGGAAAGCAUGAUUGAUAGAUAUUCCCUAGGAUUUUAUAAUGUGAAAGGUGCUCCCUCUCCAAUAUUGGUGGGUACAGUUAGUCGGAGAAUCUGAGUGGUAAGGGAUAUAGAACUGAAGUUUACACAAGGCGUUGGUCUUUUUUUUUUUAAUCAGUAGGGCAAAGGGUCCCUUACACGUUGGGCACACUGGUUCUUCAAGCCAAUCAUUGGAAAGGCAGAUCUCAAGAUGAUGAAUUGAUGAUAGGCUAACAAAUAAUUUUAUAUUGUAUCAUCAUUUUGACUAUAAGGCCUUCCUCACACACUAGUGUUGGAAAUAAAUAUUAUCCUACAUUAAGAUUCAGAAUCCAUCUUUUUUAUUCCUCUGCAAAGUCCACAAUGACCUCUCAUAUUCCAUGGUUUGUAUUAGAAUGAUAAGAAAAGGGGAGGGGAAACUCUAGAAGAUGGAAGAGUACAAAGUAACGGGUCCAAUUGAGGUGGUACACAGACAAGUGUCUUAAAAGGGCCGAAUUAAUGGGAUGAAUUCAAGUUUGAAAUUAAAAUAGCUUCCCAACAACCUCUCAUUCAUGCCAGCUUCCUGCAGCAAUCUCAGAAGGUUCAAUCGCAUUUAAAUUUAACUUUAAAUUAUAAAUAGAAUUAAAAAAAAUGAUGAGAUGCAAGACUAGUCUUAAUUUCUAGGCAUGCUAGUAUACAUAUUGGCCAUGGUUUGGUUAUAGUAGAAACACAAGGUGAAAAUAAAACAAAAUAAAUGUGUUGUUUCAUCAUGUUCAUGUUAGGGCUUAAAGGGAGGAGGACAAUGCCAUAUUGAUAUUUGCACACCCCACGCCAUGAAUGGAGAUUCGUGUAUGUUUCGCCUGAGCAUCAACACCAUGGCACGUGAUGCAUCCACCCCCCGUCUCAUCAUGCUUCUUACUCUACUCCACAUUAUUAUUAUUGAUGAUAAUCAGGAAGGGAAGAAAAAGCAAAAGGGGGGCUUUGAUGUAAAUUAAUACAAAGUUAUUGAGUGACGACAUGUGUGGUGUGAUGGAAACCCAAAGCCACGCCACAAGCGCCCUUCCUUAUCAGCUACUCUCCACCAUUAGUUUAUUCAGAUGAAUUAUUAAGCAUAAAAUAACACACUUUGAAAGCAAAAUAGAAAGCAGGAAUAAAGGCCCACCCCCAUUAUCCACAGUCCCACUCUCUCACGCUACAUGUCUCUCUCCUCUCCAUCACUCUUCUCUCUUAUCUCUCUCAUCUCUAUCCAGGAGAGGUGAGAGGAGAUGGGAGCAUGAUGUUCCAACACCAAGAUAGAUUUAUUGGGGCUGAAUGCUGAGCAGUCCCUCGUAUGUAUUCCUCAUCGAUCCUCACUUCUUUUCAACAAACAGAAGCCAUGACAUCACCCCACAACAAAAGAAAGAAACAGACAAAGCAGCCCUCUCCAAGGUGCUGAUUUUUAUUGUGAGAAAGGUCAGACGAUGAUGAUGAUGUUAAAAGGGGUUAGAGCCGCAACAGCAACAACCACCCUAGUCUUUGCUCCAAUAAUUCACUUAUAAUAAUAAUAAUUUAUAUAUAAGUUUUAUGAAAGAGCAGCAAAAAGAAGGGAGGGAGACGAACGCAGCCUUUCAGAUUCCUCACGGCUCUCAUAUCCACUUGGUGCCUUUGGCCUUGUGGAGUGUGGGGAGAUAGAGACGGCUGGGAGCAUCUGGAGAGAAAUCUGAGAUAGAGAGAGAUGCAGGUCGCUAUCCUUGUGGGGCUUGUGGGGUUACGUGUCCCCUAAGCUUCCACAUGAUUUGAACUAACCUUGUGACUUAUAUACAAGAUUAUUGUAAAAGAAAAUUACAAAGACAUCCUCCUUGUAAAUCCAAUCUCUCCUCGGACCACAACUCUCGAGUGUUCCUGUACUUGGUGCCCAUUGCCCAAUGGGGGACCAAUUGGAAAAACCUUGAGUCAAGUAAAACUACCAACUCCUCCAUUUACAUGAAUGUCACCCCUCCGCGUAACCUCAAAGCUAUAUUGUCUGACCGAAUUCAAGGAAUCAUCAGGAGGAGCAUUCACUAUCAGACUUUUGCUACCAUCUCUAUACCAUUUAUGAGGGGGAGUUGGUUGGGGGAGGCCACCCCAAUUUGACCACAACAUACCUUUUCUUUCCCAAGUACACAAUAUCAAUACAAAUUUAUAUAUGCGCCAAUUCAAUCAAACAAUUGUAUCCUACUCAUACCAACAAAUAAAAAUUCUAGAAUUCUACCCAACACCAUUCUGGGACCAAUUCCUCCUUUCCAUUUAUAGGGGGCUUAAAAAUCUUUCUAGAAAUUUAACUACACCAUGUAUUGAGUGUUGGGCCCGUAGCACAUACUUCAUGUUAAAAGCUUUUAACAGGAUCAACUCGUAUUCUUAGCAAAAUCAUGAUGAAAACACGACAAAAGAUUGCAGGAUUUAUGUUAACAGCAUCCGCGCUAAACUCCAGAUUUCCUCGUUCAUGUUCACUGCUAAAUCAUGACAACGAUACGACAAAUUGAUCGCAGGAUAUAACCAUAAACAUUCUUUUGCGAACCGAGCACCCAAGAUUAGGGGGUUGGACAUGCCAGAUCAUCCAUGUCAAUGGAGCUGUAAUAUAAUGUCAAAACCCUUUGGAGACCUACAAACAGUUAGUACUGAAUUACCUUUUUGGUAGGGGCUUUAAAAGGUUGGUUCCACUAAAAGUUUGGCUCCAAAAGACCCCCCAUCUGAUGUGUGGCUUAAUUAGCAUAUGCAACAGAAAUAAAGCCGGAAUGAGAGACCCCGGAGUUGAGAAAAUGCACAAAACAAGAGAAUAUAACAACUUCAAAAACACUAGCUGUAUGAUUAAAAGCAUGUUUUCUGUACAUAAGCCAUAACGCCACUCCAUUAUUGCAAAUUUUCCCAACAAAGAAAGACCCAUACAUGUAUGUUAUGAUAUGUACAUAGAUACACUGUCAAUAUAUCCUAAAAGAUGUAAUCUAGAAAGUAAAAACCCCAAACAACAUUUAUUCUAAAGAGAGAGACACAAUUUCCAUAAUCUAGAGCUAAUUAGAACACACUACUUCCCUAUUAUUUACACAAGAAACUAGGACCACCUAUUCCUUGAUCACAUUUUACUUCCACUUUUUGUUGUGUUUGCUUUUAUUUGUUUAUUUAUUCAUUUACUCAUAUAUAUAUAUAUAUAUAUAUUUUUUUUUUUUUUUCAGGAGAGUUUUUUUUUCUUUUCCAUUUACUAAACCUAAAGGACUUUACAGGAUUUCAAGCACCAUUUAUCUAUUUGUGUUAUCCAGUUGAAAGCAGACUGUUGUAUCUUAAACACUCAAAAUGGGGCUCGAUGAGGAAUACCCUUUCUUCUCCUGGCAUUGCUGUGGUUGAAAAUGGGAGGAGUUGCUGGAGAAAUGUUGUUGAUGGUCUCGUCUCCGGAGCUAGACGCAGUGGACUUGUCAGCAGCAACAGUAGCAUCAUGGUGCCCAUCCAGGGAAAUGGUUGGCCCAUCUAUCAUCAGCCGACUGAAAAGAUGCGUCCUCUGAAACUUCCUGGGUGUGGAUGAUUCAUCUGAUUCGGACCCAUGGAAGGUUUCACGACCAUGUUUCAGUUUCAGCCAGAAUGUGAGGUCCGGAUCGCCCCGCUUCAUGGCUCCAAGCUAUCAAUGACAAAGGGUACUUUGGUCAACUGAUUUGUCUUUACAAGGCGUUCACACCAAAGAAGUAAACGUGAGAGUGAGAGAGAGAGAGAGAGACAGAGCAAAGGGAGCAAGAAAUCCAAAAAUACAAAACAAGUCUCCUGGGCAACUUCAAUUUACCCAAAAAGAAGACUUGAUAGGGCAACAAAUAUAAUGGAGAAAUUGGCAUUUCAUAAACGGAAGCAAUGACACCCCUGGGAAAAAUGAAAUUAACAGAGCAGACCCAGAAACCGUAUGUUGAAAACCAUCAACCAAAAUUCAAUGAAUGAAAGAAGUUGGAAAACUGAAAUCAGAGGAGCUGGUGAAGUAAUGAUAAUCAAACAACAGAGGAAACGAAAUUACACAUAGAAAGAAAGGAAAAAAAACGAAGGGAGGGAGGGAGGGAGGGAGGGAGGGAGAGAGAGAGAGACAAACCUUGCAGCCCAAAGAACAGAACCUGAAAGAGUCAAGGAGGCUUCUGCAACAAAUCUCACAGGUGUUGGUGACACCCUUUCCAGGCCUGGGCUGUGGGCGCUCAUUCAGAAAUACAAUCUUCGCACUGUUGAUAACGUAGGUUUGAACGCAAGAUAUGUCGAUGUACUUCUGAAUUUCAUUAACCCUCACCACGUUGUGGUACGAGGAUCGUCUUAUCUGCAACAACCACCACCACCACCCACUCCAUCAAAUUCUCAAGGGAACCCACCCCCACCCCUCAUUCUCUGAAACAAUCAACAACAUUGAAAAAUGUGAAUGCUAAACCCACCUGAACAACGCAGUGAUCCUUGUGAUGGAUCAAACAGUAGGAACAGAGGGCAUCUCCCAUACAAUCCAAACAAAACAUAUUGCAUUCGCUCUUAUUAGAAUCUCCAUGAAUACCGCAGGGAACGAAGUAGCUAGCUCUCAGCAUUGGCUUCAACCACGGCGGACCCAGAUGAUCGUUCCCCAUUCGCCCAAUCGAACUCACCUGUGACACCAAGCACAACUCUCACCUUAGGUAAUAAACCACCCACAAACAAUCAAACCGCAAACAACUAAAACGCCAUGGCUUCCAUCCUCCAUCUGAUUACCAUCACUUUUUUGUGGUGAGGAAUCUCCCGCUGCUGAUUAUCGAUAGCCAGUCUGUUCAGCUCUGGAAGCACAGCAGAAGAAGAAAGGACAAACCCACAUUAACCAGAGAGGAACAAACCCAAAAAAACCAACCUGAAAAGGAGAAAGAAUGAAUCAAAUAAAAUACCCAGAAAGCUUCAAGAGGUGAGAGGGUGAGUGAAGUCGGUCCACAGAUUUGAUUGAAGAAAAGAGGAGUUAAAAGAGAGGAAGAAAGAAAUUUAUAAGGCGGUCACCAAAAAUAAAAUAAAAAACCAAAUAAAUAUUUAAGGAAAGAAACGUGCCCUCUCUAGUCUCUACUCAUAUUAUUUAUUUAUUAUAACAGCCCAUUUUCUGGACGGAUAUCUAUCAUCUAUGCUGACAGCAAUGACCAGAUUCUCCCUUGUCAGCCCUCCGAUCAUAUUCAUCCCCAUCAACUCCCACUCUCCUCCAUUCUCAGCCCUCUGAUCAAAGCCCGGACCCACCUCCUCCAUUUUUCUCUUUUUUCUUCUUUAUUCUUUUUCCUUCUCAGGCCUCAGCAAACAAACACCCAUUCCACUUCACUCCCUCCUCUUUCACAUUAUUUUUAGAUUUAAUUAAAUUUCUAUAUCCCGUGUGUAGUUUACUAGUUUUGCACCAUAAUUGAUUUCAUUAUUCAUUAACAUGUCAUUUUAAGUCACUCAUGCCAUUAUAUUUUAUUAAUAUUUAUUAUUUCACUGCAUUUUACAUGCUCCUGGGAUUAGAUAACGUACAUGUUGAUGUAGGUGACAUCAAUUUCCAGCUGUAUUUAAUUAAUUAAAAUGUAAUAUAAAUAUUAUUGAAUGUAAAUUAAAUUUGAAAACUCAUGAAUAUAUAUAUAAACUUGAUUCCACUGAAUUCCGUGUUAAAUGGAAAAUCCCCACUGGUUGCUUUAAUGAAUGGAUUAGGUUAAUUGUGGGAAUUAAUAUUAUAGAUAAUAAUGAGUAAAAAAAUAAAAUUGAAAAAGAAAUAAUAUAAAUUAUGGGUUAAUUGUGAUUUGUGAGAGCAGCGUAAUAAUAAUAUUAAUAUUAAAAGAAUAAAAAGAUAGCUAUAAAUGGAUUGGAUUAGUGCAUGUACAAGUUUUCUAUACCUGUAAUCAUAUUCAAAAUGCAUUUAAUAAUUAUAUUUUGGUUUUUCUUAUAUGAUAGACAUUAAAAAAUAAAAAAUACGAGUAAAGGAAAUAAAAAAUGAUAAAAAUCAGACAAAAAAAUCCCCAUCCUCGAAAUCAUGGCUUUGCUAAAAUAAUACACUAUAUUCACAAGAUUUGAUAUGUAAAGUACCCUCCCUCUUUUUGUUUGAGACAUAAGGAGAGGAGGCCGAGAGGAGGCCAAGGGGAGGAGUGAGAUUAAGAUGGUUUUUGCAUGAUUCUUGGGAAAGAGUAGAGGCAAAGUGACAUGUGGAAGAUAGGAUAAGGACGUGUCAUGCAUUACAUACACUACACUAUCAUACAAACGCUGCGGCGGCUUUUGGAGGUCUCGGCGGUGGGUGGGUCGGUCAGUCCAGUGCCUCGAUGGAGUUAUAGGGGAUGAUGAUCUCUAAUCUGGGUGGGGAAUUUGGCUAAAGGGAUUAAACAUGGUGGUGGCGUCAGCUAUUAUAAUAUCAGUUUGGUGCUCUGUUUAAAGUAUUCCAAAGUUGGAAAAAUCUAGUAAUACUUAUCCACUUCUCUAAUAAAGCUCAUAUAUUAAAAAAAAAAAAACAAAAGGGACAAUUCUUCCAACCCAAAAUCAUAUCAUUGCUCCACUAACUAAAGCGAGAACCUUGUAUUAAGUCCCUCUCAAAGGCUGUUUCGAAUUUUUGGAAAAGUUAAUCAUGCUGAGGGGAAACCCAAAGCCACUGCCUCACCAGUCUAGCUUUUCUUGAGAUUUCCCAAACACCCUCCUAAAGCCUAAAACCCUAAAGGCCUAAAAGUGAAGAUGCUCUUUUGCUGCCUUCUGCCUUCCAAAUUGUAUGAUUGUAUCAAGGAUAGGCAUGGGCCCAUUCACAGGCGGGACAGAAGCACAUAGGCCCAUCGUUCAUGGGCCUUGGACCUGCCUAAGAAGCCGAUAUUGGGCACUUGGAAUAUGCCAAUCACUUCAGGCACAUACCACCAUAAGAAGAUGGGGAGCAAAUCAGAUCAAAUUUUCAAGGCCCCUAGGGAAUUCAAUUGGAUCGGCAGCCCGCCUUUUAUGGGCCGGCCUGCAAACUCAAGGUGUUUCCUCUGGUGAACAUGAUGUACACCCUCUCUCUCUCUCUCAGCAGCUAUGAGGGAAAAACUCAAAUCAAUAAAUACCCCCCAAAAAAGAAGUCGAUAAAUCUUAUGCUUGGUUAAAAUUCAUUCAAGGAUUAAAUAUAUGUAAGUUUAUAAAUAAUUAAAUAUUGUAAGACAUGACUUAGAUCCUGGUCUUAGAGCUUGUUUGAGAGUCAUUUUAAUAGGGUUAGAAAUGUUUUCCUUCCAAAAAAGCAAAAAAGGGAAAAAAGUGCCACAACUAAAUGUAUUUUUAUUAUAACCACUUGGAGAGGGGCCCUUAAUGCCGGUAAUUGCCAACUGAAAUUGUUGAUAUAUGACAAAUAUGACAAUAAUUAUUAAUCAUAAAGUCAUGCAUAAAAAAAACUUAUGACCAUUAUUCAUGUGCAUCAUUAUGGUAACCCAUGAACCAUUUGCCUGACUUCAUUGAACCUAAAUAGUAAAAUAAGGGUAUAAUUUUGAUACAUGAUUAGGGGAAUGCAGGCUACAGCUAAGUAUCCUAAAUCAGGACAAAGGCACCAAAUAAUGGCUGGAGUUGGUCAUAUUGGAUUAUUCAAUUUAAACUACGAGAUACAUUCGGUGACGGCCUGUUCCCCGGUCGUCCACCACAUUGGCACUUUCAAAUCACUUUCUCCUCUCCCCAAGUUUCAAUUAGAUAAAAAAAAAAAAUGCAAUUCCCAUACCGGAAUUAUAAUGAACAAGUUGAAAAUAGUGACGGAUUUUUUUUUUUUUUAUACAAAAUGAAACAUUUUUUUUAUAAGAAAAUACAAAGGAAUACAACAAAUAAAAUAAAGCACUCUCACCUUUACAGAUAAAUCAAAGUUGGUUUUUGGACCCUUUUUCUCAAUCUCUUCCUCUCCCCUCCCCCUCCCCUCCCCUUGGCCCUUCCCCACUCUUUUUGUGGUUUGAGUAGGCUGUGCAUGAGUGAAAGUGGCGUGGGCCAGAGGAUGGCAGCGGUGGCAGAGGGAAGGAGUAACCUUUUAGCAACAAGACACAAAGCCGCUAGUCAACUACCAAUGCCCAGUGUUCACCUCCUCUGCCUGGAUGCCCAUGUCGGUGAGGCUGCGGUGGUCUCACGGCCUUAAUUUAUAUUUAUAAUUUUCUUCUUUAGAGGAAAAUAAAAAAAUAAUAAAAAAGGGAAAAAAUUCAAGAGAUUUACUAUUGAAACACAUGUAUGGAUCCGAUGGUAUUGCGCUCGAAUUGUUUGAUGGUGUUGGCCAGCUUCGUCAUGUUGUCGUCAUAAACGUAAGGGAGCUUAUCGAACCAGGUGACAUUGUUCUUGGCGGAGAUAGGGAGGAAUUCACGGCAAGGCUCACCCUGUACUGAUAUGGAAUUGUGGUAGUGAUAGUAUCGGAUCUUGGUUUCGGUCUUGUGUAGUGUCUUCCCAAUUACAUUCUCAGACAUGUGUACUCCCGUGGAGUAUGCGUUCUUCGCCUGUAUUGCGUACUUUCUAUCUCGCCGGAUUCUGGUUCGUGAAUCUCUGAACAGCAGCUUCUCGAAUCCCCAUUCCCUGUUUUAAUUACCAAAAACAUUAUCACCACUACCACCCAAUGAGGGAAAAAGAAGAAGUUUAUGAACGGGAAAUGUUGGGACCGUAUGGGUUUCCAGAAAGGAAAGGAAAGUGAAAGAACUGGAUGCCCCAAAUGCAAGGAAUGAAAUUCAGUAAGCUAGAGAUCUAAAGAAUAUUCCAGUGCCAAAAGGGUGCAGAAAUCGAGAUCCAUCCUCAAUUAUGGGUUGGGAAUGAAAAGGGAAGGAAGCAUUGUGAGGAAUUUCAUACCUUGAAUAGUUGCGGGAGGAGUCGUUCAAGCAAAGCACACUGGACAUUGGAUUCUGCUCAAUGGUGAACUGGGUAUAAUCGGAGAAUUCCUCCAUAACGGACUCCAGAGUCCUGCCGUCAGGCAAGUAUAUAUACUCAUCCACGUCGAAGUAGAAUGUCCAGUUGGCAGCGUGUCGGUAACGAUGGAGACAGUCGUUCACCACCAAAAAUUGGUUGUAGUAAUAGCCGUCGAACUCCGCCUGGCCUCUGAUAUCUUGAAUCGUAGCCCACCCAGCUCGCACCCAGGGCUCCAGCGCUGCCCUCACCGCCGGCGACACCCCACCCGCAUCGUGAAACACAAAAUGUGAUUUGGGUCCGAAGAACCACGCAUGAUACGCCAUCCACUCCCGUAUCCUCGCCGCGCUCAGGCUUCCGUACAAAGAUGACCCGCAGUACAGAUACUCAUAUUGAUACGGCGGGCGGUAAUUGGACUCAUUGUAGGACCCUGGUUGUUCCUCCAAGACCGUGAACUUCUCGAAUUUCCUCGGCGACUCGCCAUAGUAGGCACGGAGGACAAGCUUCCCACCAGCGUUGUCCUCGUUUGGGUUUUCAGCGAAUGUGCAGUUCACCACAACCACCGUGUACACCCGACCGUAGCCCCAAUCGGGAAGCAUUUUGUAGGCUUUGGCCCUCAAGGAAGCUGAACCAUUGCUAGAGAUCCACUCGCAUUUGUACCAAGGACGGCCGUAGACGUGAAGAGGCUUGGAAGCCAGACCCACAACAGCGAAUGUCCGAGGACCGCCGCGGUAAGCUCCCAUUAACACGAAGAGAGAGGCCGCGUUGCCGUAGGCGUAGAAGAGGCGCUUGUUAGGGUCUGCGUUGGAGCUGGCCUUUGGAGUGGAGACCUUUUUUUCAGAGACGGAGGAGGAUGAGGGCGGUGUAUACGGGAGGAUGGAUGCAUUACCGGUGGCGAUGGUGGUGGAGGUGGCGGUGGCGGCGGCGGCGGUGGCGGAACAGCGGCUGGUGGUGGAGAUGAGGUUUUCGUAGUAGGGCUGGAGAUUCCAGAUGACCAUGACAAGGGUGAGGGCCAGUAAUGUGGCAACCAGGGGCUUAGUUUCGAAACAUAGGAAUAAUUUGCCGACGGAGUUGCCGGGGACGGUAGCCGGUGAGGCGUCUUUCCU
This 63326-nucleotide long non-coding RNA is filed under the name Vitis vinifera (wine grape). RNAcentral describes it as "long non-coding RNA (VVIN_LNC005862)". Lineage: Eukaryota; Viridiplantae; Streptophyta; Magnoliopsida; Vitales; Vitaceae. The record is from RNAcentral.